RNAcentral lists this long non-coding RNA (58457 nucleotides) under Pelobates cultripes (western spadefoot toad). The record is from RNAcentral. Lineage: Eukaryota; Metazoa; Chordata; Amphibia; Anura; Pelobatidae.
AAGCCCAGCACUGCGCUCACAGAAGGCUGAGGCAAAGAAACAGCAGUUCCAGCAUCCACAGAAGACAUCAGCUGUGAUCCAGGCGCCACCUGCUGGACGGAUCCAGGAACUGCAGCAGCAUGCUGAGAAGGGAGCAGCCGAGAAGAUGAGCCCACGCCCCGGAGGAGAUGGCCGAGGUAAGUGACCUGGGGGGUGGUGUGGAGGGGGAGGUAGGCCGCGGCAGCCACACCAGGAGGCCACGCGGCAGUUGUAGGCCUCAUCCCCGGCCUGGAGGUAGCCGGCCAGGCGGCCCAGGAAGGAGCAGGCAGGGCGGUGGAGGUAGUAGGCCGUGCGGCAGUGGCAGGCCUCGUGGCAAUAGGCCUCAAAUCCCGGCCCCCAGUAGUAGGCCGCGUGCCUGGAGCCCCAGACACGCGGCCCCCGCGGUGCCCCGGGCCCAGGGUCCUGCCCCUCAACCGGGCCCGAGGAGUAGGAUCCAGGGACAGCCUGGCAGGUGGGCGGGAAUACCUGCCAUUGCUGGCGCGGCAGCAGGGGAGACCGCAGGGGGUGCCCCAGGGGAAGGUAGGCCGUGGGGGGUGCCCACACCGGCAGCCAUACAUCCACUAAUGCUUCUCAAUCCCUCCCUUAGGUGCCGGCCACCAUCCACGCUGCAGCAGCCCUGAGGGACGACCGGAUCGCCUCAACAUCCAUCACCUCAAGCUGUAUCAAUCUGCAGGCCCAGGCAAACAGGAGCAGGAGGACAGGAAGCUGUUUGCUGGCCCGAAUCCCAAGUGGCACUGAGGUAAGACCUCCCCCACACUAACUUACACAGAACAUAAUCCCACCCACACACUCUUUCCCAACCAAUCCCAUGCAUCUAUCCCCACACUCCUAAAUGUGCCCAUGUCCGCUUAGCUGCGCUAUCUCCCCAGGGCCUGCAUCGCGAUUCCCUUACUACGUACAUACAUGAAUUCCUCCCCAACAUCCUCUCCUGCCAAUGAUCAAGGUAAGGAAGAGAGAUGGGGGAGUAUGUUUUUUGCCCCAUGUCUCCACCUCUAAUCUAGCAGUCCCUGUCCCUCCCUCUUACCCUGCAGCUCCUGCCCCCCCUCACGAAUGGGUAAGAGGGGGCAGGAGCCCUAUUAUCGGCGAGUGUUAGUUGAAAGGGCCAUGCUAGUUAAGACUAGACUAUGAUAUCCAGGACUAGCUCCUGCCCCCUCUUACCCUGCAGCUCCUGCCCCCCUCACCCUGCAGCCCCUGCCCAAUCUUACCCUGCAGCCCUUGCACCCUCUCACCCGCAGCCCCUGCCCCCCUCUCACCCUGCAGCCCCUGCCCCACAUUACACUACCCCUCUCUGACCCGCAGCCUCUGCUCCCCAUUACCCUGCAGCCCCUGCCCCCUCUCACCUGCAGCCCCUGCCCCCUCUCACCCUGCAGCUCCUGCCCCCCCACCCUGCAGCCCCUGCCCCUCUCACGGCAGCCCUGUCCCCAUUACCCUGCAGCCCUGCCCCCCCCCUCUCCGCAGCUCCUGCCCCCUCUUACCCUACAGCCCCUGGCCCCCCUCUCACCCUACAGAUCCUGCCUCCCUAUUACCCUGCAGCUCCUGACACCCUUACCCUGCAGCCCCUGACCCCCUCUCACCCUGCAGCCCCUGGACAAGAUGUUUGAUAUUACAUCUUUGGUAGCUUUCGCUACUUUUUGCCACCUCAGGUUAAAACUAUCCCACAAUACCAUCAAGCUAUACUUAACCAGCAUUCAGCAUCAUAUGUAUUUAUUAUUUCCAGACAACCCCAGUUUUCUUUCUUCUUUUCCAAUUAUGACCAUACUUAAAGGCAUACACGAAGCCAGCGGUCCUACCCCACAUCAAAGGUUACCCAUUGUUACGACACGUACCGUCGGGUAAAUGAAGCCGCCGUUUAGUCAGUAAUCCCCUUCUCCAGAAAUGCAGUUUAAAUCCAGCCGACCGCCAAACUCCCGAACGAAGUCCACGAACACGUCAAACUCCCGAUCAGCAAAACAGUCGAACGCCUUCCACAGCUAAAAAUAACGAAAGCGCUGUCCCAGUAAUAAUUCCCCCACAAACGAGACCAAGCUCCGUGUUGAGGGUCAAAUGAAGAUCUGUUUAAUGGGGGCUACCUGCCCGGUAUUUAUGCAGGUCUCCACAAGGUGGACACUCCCCGAGGGGACCUUGUGGAAGACUGUAAGACAUAUUGAACAGUAGCCAAUCGCAGUGGCUUCAAUAAUAGCCCUUCCCAUCUUGCCCAUAAUUCCGUCUUCUCUACCUCGGAGAUAAUUAGGAAGAAACCUAAUUAUCUCCUAAGGUAGAGACAAUCGCCAUUUUACUUUACAAUAAUAAAAAUACAUUAAAAUACAUAACUGCAGAAAUACCGAAUGCAUAUGGUUCGUGUAACGUUUCUCCAGACAGCCUGGAUCUGAGGGCAUGUUUUCACCGAAUAGCGCUCAGAUCCGAUGUAUCUAGUCGAAUCGCCAUGGAGUCAAAGUCUUUCACCAGUCCUUCGGUAUACGAAUGACUCCAUGGGAUGGCUGUCGGGGUGAAAGUCCAUACGAAUGAAUAAAACUCCCGAACGACCGACGUUCGCAUGCCUUGUCGAAAUGGAAGGUAGGCAGCAGCUUCCAGCGGUGUUCGGUAGUUUAAGUGUCCGUUUUUAGUUCCAUACAGUUUGUACCGAACACCGCUCUGUGUUGUCCCAAAAUGGCCGCUGCCUCGUGGUCGACAUGCGAACGACGACCACCCGUACGAAUGGAAUGGAGAGGUGUCUGCGGUUGACCACAACGUUCUAAUUGGGGCCAAGAGGUUAACCAGCAGCACACUCCUCUCCUGGGUGGUCGUUCGUUCGGUAGUUUCAAUCGGUAGUUUGCAAAUUACACGAACGGGGUUAUAUGAACAGGCAAUUCAGCGAACAAAGGGAAACAGACGAACCAGCAAUACAGAUGAAUCUGUCACACCCAUUUAUAAACAAUUAUUUAAAGAUAUGUCAGAUUUGCUAGACGGAGCCCCAUUUGAACACAUCACUGUCUUCCCCUCUCACCCUGCAGCCCCUGACCCUUCUUACCCUGCAGUUCCUGCUCCCUAUUACCCUGCAGCCCCUGCCCCCCUCUCACCCUGCAUCCCCUGCCCCCUCUCACCCUGCAGCCCCUGCCCCUUAUUGCCCUGCAUUCCCUGUCCCCCCCUCUCAUACACUGCAUCCUCUAUUUGCCCCCUCUAACCCAGAAGCUUCUGUCCCGCCACCCAGCACUCCCACCAGGACCCCCCUUUUCACCCCUCACCCAGCAGUUGCUGCCCCCUCUCUCACCUUGCAGCCCCAUGUCCCCUCUCACACUCUGCAGCCCCAUGUCCCCUCUCACACCAUGCAGCCCCAUGUCCCCUCUCACACUCUGCAGCCCCAUGUCCCCUCUCACACUCUGUAGCCCCAUUUCCCCUCUCACACCUGCGGUCCCAUGUCCCCUCUCACACCCUGCAGCCCCUGCCCCCCCUCUCACCCUGCAGCCCCAUGUCCCCACUCCACCAUGCAUCCCUGCCCCCUCUCACCCUGCAGCCCCAUGUCCCUCUCACACCAUGCAGCCCCAUGUCCCCUCUGCCAUGCAGCCCCAUGUCCAUCUCUCACACUCUGCAGCCCCAUGUCCCCUCUCACCAUGCAGCCCCUUGUCCAUUCUCACCUCCUGCAGCCCCAUGUCCCGUCUCACACCAUGCAGCCCCAUGUCCCUCUCACACCAUGCAGCCCCAUGUCCAUUCUCACUCUCUGUCUCAGCCCCAUGUCCCCUCUCACACCAUGCAGCCCAUGUCCCCACCUCUCACACCAUAUGCAGCCCCAUGUCCCCUCUCACACUCUGCAGCCCCAUGUCCCCCUCUCACACCAUGCAGCCCCAUGUCCCCUCUCACACUCUGCAGCCCCAUGUCCCCUCUCACACUCUGCAGCCCCAUGUCCUCCUCUCACACCCUGCAGCCCCAUGUCCCCUCUCACACUCUAAAUCUUUUAUUCCACCCUUACACAACACAUUGUCUCCCCCUCACACAGCAUCCCCUAUCGUCUCCCCCUCACACACACGCAUCGCCUAUCACCCUCAUGCUACACGUGGACUGCCCUGAGGGGUAUUAAACAAAUGUGUCCACUUUGGAGAAGCAUUAAUGACAUUGGUUAUGACACAACAUGCACCACCUUGGGCCACACCCCUCCGAGGGCUGCUUUGCCUUUAAAUGCCUAGGCUGAAUUUUUGUCCCAGUCCGGCCUUGUAUCCGACCAUGUUUCUAUUAUGCCUAUUAUGUCAUAUUGUUUAGUGUAUGCUAUUGCCUCUAGUUCCCCCAUUUUGUUAUUUAUGCCCCUUGCAUUAGUAAGCAUAUAUUUAAUAUUACAACGAGUCACUUGUACUUUUUGUGAAUAUAUAUAUAUAUUUGUGCUCGGUGCAACCAUCGUUAAGAUAAAUGUAUACUUUGUAGUGACGUAACCUGUAUAGAGGAAAAAGUUGGUUGAUGUGUGCCGGAAUCGAUGUAUGCAGUAGGCCGGUAAAUAAAGUGGGAAAAAGCAGAAGUAUCAUGCCAAAGAAUAUUUAUUAACACAGAGAACAUAAUGCAAAGGGAUAUACCUCAAGAUGACAUUUUCUCAAAAGCCCUCUGUAUUUCUUAAACUGGUAUAUAGACUUCCAUCAACCUCGUGAUUUGAUAACAUGGACUGGUAUGUCCUGAAUGGAUGCAGUAGAAGCAGCCCCUAUCCUGAAGGAGUGUCCUGAAUAUCUACUAGAAUUCAAACCCAGUAUAUUUAGUAACACUCGUACGUACAGCAUGAAAGUGGUCAGGAAGGCCCCGUGGAGUGACAGAAAGGGUGUGUCUGAUUGCGUUGGUAGUGUGAGGAGAUAAGAAUCUAGAACCUUCACCGGGCUCCAUUUGUUUAGCGUAGGGUAAUAUGCGAUCUGAACUGGCUAACCCAGUUGGCUCGUUUUAGUAAUGGGUAAUGAUAGGACAUAGUGAUCUUGGUGUUUUACUAGAUAGGAGCAUUGGAGGCAUUCUUGGGAGUUAUGUUUAUUAUGGAUGGUGAAUUCUCAGCGUCUAAGGAACCCAUAAUAAGCCAGGUAAAUUGCUGUUUUAAUAAAUUAAUUAGUGAUGUGUUCAAAUGGGGCUCCGUCUAGCAAAUCUGACAUAUCUUUAAAUAAUUGUUUAUAAAUGGGUAACCUUUGAUGUGGGGUAGGACCGCUGGCUUUGUGUAUGCCUUUAAGUAUGGUCAUAAUUGGAAAAGAAGAAAGAAAACUGGGGUUGUCUGGAAAUAAUAAAUACAUAUGAUGCUGAAUGCUGGUUAAGUAUAGCUUGAUGGUAUUGUGGGAUAGUUUUAACCUGAGGUGGCAAAAAGUAGCGAAAGCUACCAAAGAUGUAAUAUCAAACAUCUUCUCCAGUGUAUGUUCUAACAGGAAUUUCUUAUAUAAUGAAAAAGCCCUAUUGUAAUAUCGGCAAGUGUUAGUUGAAAGGGCCAUACUAGUUAAGACUAGACUAUGAUAAAGUAACUCCUUUAAUCCAGGACUAGCUCCUGGAACAGAGGGGCGGCUGUGGCUACCCAUGAGGCGGUGGGUAGAGUUCUCCUGAACGUCUGAAAUUUAAAGCAGGACAAUUGGUCAGUCUCCUAAUGAACCUCAUAAUAGUCAGUGAGGAUGAACGCACUUUGUUUAUAAUAUGGGAAGUAGCUAGGUUGUCGGAAAGACAUCGUACUGAACAACCAGCCCAUGAUUGGCCCCAUGCUACAGCUACCGCAAUGAUGGGAUAUAUCUCGAAUAAGGCCGAGUUGCAGGAGAACUCUUCAAUAUCCUGCACCUCCUCUGGCCAACCACCCCAGAGCCAUUUGUCACCAAAUAUGGCCGCAAAACCAGUGGUAGCUGCUGCAUCCGUCCAGAUGACGGGGGAAUGUAUUGACAACUGUGGGAGAAACAUGCUUCUCCCAUUCCAGCGUAACAGGAAUUUGCGCCACAUGAGUAGGUCAGCAGUAGCCUGAGGAUAGAGGGGGAUACGAUUAUAAUCGUUGGCUAAGGAGUCUAGUGAUAAAGGCUCUACCUUGCAGGAUAAUCCUUAUGGUAAAAUUAAGGGAACCCAACAGAGAUUGUAACUCGUUGCGGUUGCAGGUACCCACUUGUAUGUGUUGGUUAGUAACCUGUAGGAUAUUAUCUAUUUUUCCUAAUGGGAGACUGGCUUCCAUGGCCACAUAAUCCUAUCAAUUUCUUUCUAUCUAUCUAUUUAUUUCCCAGGAAUCUUAUAAAGGUGUCAGGAUCGUCUGUCUUUUUGGGAGAGACUGGUACACCUAAGGAAUGUGUAACGGAACCGCUGGCACCCCGACCGGGUACCUCCCGCUGACGGAUGCUCCUAGUGCUUUCCGAGGACUGCAAGCACUCUGCCCAACGCCAUAACCACUGCAGACCCCACGAACCACUGCAGCUUGGUUGGGGUCUCGCCGUCUCCACCCACUCUGUACCCAAGACCAGGGUCCAGCUUCCAGUAGGUCGAGCUCUCGGAAUUCCAGAGAGCAGGAACAAGCUCUUAGCAGAGCUUAGUGAUUAUACCCUGGGGAGUAUAGUGAUUAUAGCAAUCCCCAGAGUGUAGUUCUCCAAUCCCCCAAACAUGAGCCGAAACUUCAUGAAGUUACAAGAUGAUCUGCCCUUAAUUGGCACCAAAGGGCCUUCUUUUAUUCAUUACUUAGACAAUUUUCUUUUCAUCAGGAAAGCUGGACCCUCUGAACACUUUCAUGUCUAUUGCUCAGCAAUUUAGCAUUUCAUUGCCACGGGAGAAAACAGUCUGGCCUAGUACUUGUCUUUUUUGGGUAUAAUUAUUGACUCUGAAAGAAUGGAAUUACCUGAAGAGAAAAUAGUUAAAAUGAAGUGAGAAAUUUCCCAAUUAUUAGGUGUAACGGCACGCCAAGUAGGUGAAGGGGUUUGUAACGGACCGUUUUGCACCCAAGCAGUUAAAAAUCGUUUAGGCGAUAUGCCCCUUUCCAGAUGCACCGACAGCUACUGUAAGCACCAAUCUCCCAAACUGCAAACUACACGAAUCAUCCAACUCCUGAACAGGAAACACACGAAUACUGGAAACAGCUGAACAGGAAAAACCAUACGAAAGGUUUACACUCCUGGCAGUCAGCAUACAAUCCAAUUCCCCCAAUAACGAGACGACACUUCGUUUGAGGGUUAAGCAGAAUCUGACUGUACUGGCACACACAGCCUCUUUUAUUCCCAAUUCACAAACUUAGUACUGCCCACAGGGAUUUACAGAACAACCAAUAACACACGUACAUUACAGAAAACACUCCCAGCAAUUAUACACAAAAUCCUCCCCUCUGCCUGUGAUAUAAUUAUGGUACACAAUGGGUUAGCAUAAUUAUCACAGACUAUGGGAAAGACUUUGGCUCCAUGGCAAUUGAACUGUAUGUGUGUGCUCUGAGCGCCAUUCAGUAAUAAUGUGCGCUCAAAUCUGAGCUAUCUGGGGAUAUGUUGAAUGUACCUGUUUUGUGCAAUGGCUGCACAGUUAUAUGUUUUUAUGUGUUUUAUUGUCUUUUUCUGCCAUGUGUUCAAUGGAGUUUUGCCUCUGUCCUUGGAGAUAAUUGGAUUACUUCCCAAUUAUCUCCAGGAUAGAAGACUCUGUGGAACUGGUUUUGGGCAGAAAAGCCAUGCUUCCUUUGGUCACAAAGGGCUACGAUCUAUCUUUUGAACCACUGGACCAAUUUGUAUGAUUUCGUAUUUGGAGUAUGCUGAUUGAAAAUGUAAGUUUUAUGUGAAUGUGAUGCAUACUUUUCAAGUUAUGAAUAAUGUGGAAAAAUUGUAUUUCUCUGCUUGUGAUAAUUACAUUACCCAUUGUGUAAGGUAAUUGUAUCACAGGCAGAGGGGAGGAUUUUGUGUGGGAGUGUCUGAGUGUAUUGUAUGUGUUUAUUGGUUGUGUUCCAAAACCCUAUGGGUGGUACUAAUGUGUAUAUAAGAACAAUAAACCCACAGCUCUGUCUGUUCCUGUUUGACCCUCAAAACGGAGCUUUGUCUCGUUCUUGGGGAGAUUUAUUGUAUGCUGUUCCAGUUCGACUGCUAGGAGUGUAAACCUUUUCAUAUGGUUUUUCCUUUUCGGCUGUUUACAGCAUUCGUAUGCUUAUGCGGUUCAGUGGAUUGGUGUCUUUGGUAGCUGCCUGGAAGGGGAAGAUCUCCUAAACAGCUUUUAACCCCUUUUAUGCCUGGGGGUGCUGUUACAAUUGGUGGCAAGCGGCGGGGUCGUUCCCACAGUCAGAAGGACAGCUACAGGAGACACCAUUUCGUGAAUUUACAAGUUGGGGGCAACGCAUGUUCCUGUGAUGCUUUUGUGUAAUGUCUCUUUAAUUGGAACUCAACUGCAGAAACAAUAAGUUUCACCUCCUUUAUUUUAUUGAAGUGAACAAGGUAGACUGUAUCUUUAAAUACACAUGCAAGGAAAAAAUGCAAUGCUUAUUUGUCAACAGAGAGUUUAGAGAAAUUAAAUACUAUAAUAAUUGAUAUGACUUGCUUUCCUUGACAAGAGAUUUACUUAACUUAGAAGCACUCUGGCACUGGAAGGGUUAAUUCACCCAAUGGAGGAAGAGGAAGGAGUCUCUUUUAACAAACUGCAGUUUAGUAGUGAGAGAAAGGAAGUCCGUUUGUCCAAGCCGAGGUCUGAGAGAGGAGAAGGUAGAAAUCCGUUUACAAGCCGAGGUCUGGGGGAUGAGAAGGUAGAAAUCCGUUUACAACCCGAGGUCUGAGAGAGGAGAAGGUAGAAAUCCGUUUACAAGCCGAGGUCUGAGGGAUGAGAAGGUAGAAAUCCGUUUACAAGCCGAGGUCUGAGGGAUGAGAAGGUAGAAAUCCGUUUACAACCCGAGGUCUGAGGGAUGAGAAGGUAGAAAUCCGUUUACAACCCGAGGUCUGAGGGAUGAGAAGGUAGAAAUCCGUUUACCACCCGAGGUCUGAGAGAGGAGCCGGUAGCAUCGAGUGGGGCAGCUGAUCUUACUGCCGCACCUGAGUGUAUAAUCCAGCCCUUUGAAUCUGGCGCGGUCUUCCUAAGUAUCGUGGAAAGACCGCGUCAGAAAAAAGGGCGGAGCUAAGCGCCGUGAACCCGGAAGUGGGUUCCGGCGGCAGCAUGAAUGUUAGGUAUACCUGACAGUUCCAGUACAGCGACCCUAAAAGCAACAGAAUGUAACCAGCAGUGUUAUACGAGGAGGAGGAGGACCUGGAUGGCCGGGAUGCAUUAAGGAAAGGCAUCUGGUACCAGGCCCUGGAUAAUGUACAAUACCAGCGGGGUGAGAGUCUCCCCAGUGAAGAGCAGCGGUUGCAGAAGCAAGUGGCCCUGCAGAUGCCCUUCCUGGGAGAGCAGCCCCUGGAGGAAUGGGUGAAGGAACUAGAGCACCGGGUAUGGCAGGAGCUAUGGCUGGAGGAGCGCCUACCAGGCGCUCUGGUGGUAUAUGGCAUAGUAUAUACCCUGGACAGACGAGCAUGACAAGCCAGAGGGAGAGGAGUUUGAUGGUCCUGGCUUGUUAUGGGAGUCCUUUGCGCAGCCUGACUUCGGGAGCCCUGCGCAGACCAGACUUCAGGACAUUUUCUACGAGAGGGAGGCUAGGCAUGACUGGGAUGACCCCCAUGAGGUAGAGCAAGACCUAGCAACCCUGGAGUGGGAACUGGAGCAGGACUACCGAGAUCUCUUCCACUCCAUUGGGAAGGCUCAGCAGGACAGCAAGGUGUCAGACCCAGACCCCUUCAGCUGGGAAGAUAUUGUAGAGCUUUACUGGGAGGAACCCCAGGCGGCAAGUGGAGAUGGGACUGAGGUCUCUCCACCGGCCCUACAGGGAUGCUGGGCGGUCAGCCCAGAUCCCCAGCGGCAGAUUGAUUUGCAGGGAAUAUAGAGCCGUGUCUCCAUUCCCCAGCGGCAGUGUGAUAUGCAGGGAAUUGGGAGCCCAGUCUCCAUUCCCCAGUGGCAGGCUGAGUUACAGGGGGCAGAGAUAGUUGGUCCUGGCCCCCAGCAGCAGCGUGUGUUACAGGGAAUUGGGAGCCCAGUCUCCAUUCCCCAGCGGGAGAUACAGCAGGGAAUUGGGAGACCAGUCUCCAUUCCCCAGCGGCAGGCUGAGUUACAAGGGGCAGAGAUAGUUGGUCCUGGCCCUCAGCAGCAGCGUGUGUUACAGGGAAUUGGGAGCCCAGUCUCCAUUCCCCAGCGGGAGAUACAGCAGGGAAUUGGGAGCCCAGUCUCCAUUCCCCAGCAGCAGGCUGAGUUACAGGUGGCAGAGAUAGUUGGUCCUGGCCCCCAGCAGCAGAGUGAAUUGCAGGGAAUUGGGAGCCCAUUCCCCAGCGGGAGAUACAGCAGGGAAUUGGGAGCCCAGUCUCCAUUCCCAAGCGGCAGGCUGAGUUACAGGGGGCAGAGAUAGUUGGUCCUGGCCCCCAGCAGCAGCGUGUGUUACAGGGAAUUGGGAGCCCAGUCUCCAUUCCCCAGCAGCAGUGUGAUAUGCAGGGAAUUAGGAGCCCAGUCUCCAUUCCCCAGCGGCAGGCUGAGUUACAGGGGGCAGAGAUAGUUGGUCCUGGCCCCCAGCAGCAGCGUGUGUUACAGGGAAUUGGGAGCCCAGUCUCCAUUCUCCAGCGGCAGUGUGAUAUGCAGGGAAUUGGGAGCCCAGUCUCCAUUCCCCAGCGGCAGUGUGAUAUGCAGGGAAUUGGGAGCCCAGUCUCCAUUCCCCAGCGGCAGUGUGAUAUGCAGGGAAUUGGGAGCCCAGUCUCCAUUCCCCAGCGGCAGUGUGAUAUGCAGGGAAUUGGGAGCCCAGUCUCCAUUCCCCAGCGGCAGUGUGAUCUGCAAGGAAUAGGGAGCCCAGUCUCCAUUCCCCAGCGGCAGAGUGAUUUAUUAGGAAUUGGGAGCCCAGUCUCCAUUCCCCAGCGGCAGUGUGAUCUGCAGGGAAUAGGGAGCCCAGACUCCUUUCCCCAUCAGCAGGAAGUAUAUAUGGGAGACGNNNNNNNNNNNNNNNNNNNNNNNNNNNNNNNNNNNNNNNNNNNNNNNNNNNNNNNNNNNNNNNNNNNNNNNNNNNNNNNNNNNNNNNNNNNNNNNNNNNNCUGGUAGUGUUAUUUUGUUUGCUCGCCGGCUCAGAGUGUUAUUUUGUUUGCUCGCCAGCUCGUAGUGUUAUUUUGUAGUGUUUCGUAGUGUUAUUUUGUUUGCUCGCUGGCUCGUAGUGUUAUUUUGUUUGCUCGCCGGCUCGGAGUGUUAUUUUGUUUGCUUGCCGGCUCAGGGUGUUAUUUUGUUUGCACACUGACUCGUAGUGUUAUUUUGUUUGCUCGCCAGCUCGUAGUGUUAUUUUGUUUGCUCACCGGCUCAGAUUGUUAUUUUGUUUGCUCGCUAGCUCGUACUGUUAUUUUGUUUGCUCGCCAGCUCGCAGUGUUAUUUUGUUUGCUCGCCAGCUCGCAGUGUUAUUUUGUUUGCUCGCUGACUCGUAGUGUUAUUUUGUUUGCUCACUGGCUAGUAGUGUUAUUUUGUUUGCUCGCCAGCUCAGAGUGUUAUUUUGUUUGCUCGCCAGCUCGUAGUGUUAUUUUGUAGUGUUUCGUAGUGUUAUUUUGUUUGCUCACCGGCUCGUAGUGUUAUUUUGUUUGCUCACUGGCUCGUAGUGUUAUUUUGUUUGCUCGCCAGCUCAGAGUGUUAUUUUGUUUGCUCGCCAGCUCGUAGUGUUAUUUUGUAGUGUUUCGUAGUGUUAUUUUGUUUGCUUGCCGGCUCAGGGUGUUAUUUUGUUUGCACACUGACUCGUAGUGUUAUUUUGUUUGCUCGCCAGCUCGUAGUGUUAUUUUGUUUGCUCACCGGCUCAGAGUGUUAUUUUGUUUGCUCGCUAGCUCGUAGUGUUAUUUUGUUUGCUAGCCAGCUCGUAGUGUUUUUUUGUUUGCUCGCUGGCUCGUAGUGUUAUUUUGUUUGCUCGCCGGCUCGGAGUGUUAUUUUGUUUGCUUGCCGGCUCAGGGUGUUAUUUUGUUUGCACACUGACUCGUAGUGUUAUUUUGUUUGCUCGCCAGCUCGUAGUGUUAUUUUGUUUGCUCACCGGCUCAGAUUGUUAUUUUGUUUGCUCGCUAGCUCGUAGUGUUAUUUUGUUUGCUAGCCAGCUCGUAGUGUUUUUUUGUUUGCUCGCCGGCUCGUACUGUUAUUUUGUUUGCUCGCCAGCUCGCAGUNNNNNNNNNNNNNNNNNNNNNNNNNNNNNNNNNNNNNNNNNNNNNNNNNNNNNNNNNNNNNNNNNNNNNNNNNNNNNNNNNNNNNNNNNNNNNNNNNNNNGUUAUUUUGUUUGCUCGCCAGCUCGCAGUGUUAUUUUGUUUGCUCGCUGACUCGUAGUGUUAUUUUGUUUGCUCGCUGGCUCGUAGUGUUAUUUUGUUUGCUCGCCGGCUCGGAGUGCUAUUUUGUUUGCUUGCCGGCUCAGGGUGUUAUUUUGUUUGCUCACUGACUCGUAGUGUUAUUUUUGUUUGCUCGCCAGCUCGUAGUGUUAUUUUGUUUGCUCGCCGGCUCGUAUUGUUAUUUUGUUUGCUCGCUAGCUCGUACUGUUAUUUUGUUUGCUCGCCAGCUCGCAGUGUUAUUUUGUUUGCUCGCCAGCUCGCAGUGUUAUUUUGUUUGCUCGCUGACUCGUAGUGUUAUUUUGUUUGCUCACUGGCUAGUAGUGUUAUUUUGUUUGCUCGCCAGCUCAGAGUGUUAUUUUGUUUGCUCUCCAGCUCGUAGUGUUAUUUUGUAGUGUUUCGUAGUGUUAUUUUGUUUGCUCACUGGCUCGUAGUGUUAUUUUGUUUGCUCACUGGCUCGUAGUGUUAUUUUGCUUGCUCGCCAGCUCAGAGUGUUAUUUUGUUUGCUCGCCAGCUCGUAGUGUUAUUUUGUAGUGUUUCGUAGUGUUAUUUUGUUUGCUUGCCGGCUCAGGGUGUUAUUUUGUUUGCACACUGACUCGUAGUGUUAUUUUGUUUGCUCGCCAGCUCGUAGUGUUAUUUUGUUUGCUCACCGGCUCAGAUUGUUAUUUUGUUUGCUCGCUAGCUCGUACUGUUAUUUUGUUUGCUCGCCAGCUCGCAGUGUUAUUUUGUUUGCUCGCUGACUCGUAGUGUUAUUUUGUUUGCUCACUGGCUAGUAGUGUUAUUUUGUUUGCUCGCCAGCUCAGAGUGUUAUUUUGUUUGCUCGCCAGCUCGUAGUGUUAUUUUGUAGUGUUUCGUAGUGUUAUUUUGUUUGCUCACUGGCUCGUAGUGUUAUUUUGUUUGCUCACUGGCUCGUAGUGUUAUUUUGCUUGCUCGCCAGCUCAGAGUGUUAUUUUGUUUGCUCGCCAGCUCGUAGUGUUAUUUUGUUUGCUUGCCGGCUCAGGGUGUUAUUUUGUUUGCACACUGACUCGUAGUGUUAUUUUGUUUGCUCGCCAGCUCGUAGUGUUAUUUUGUUUGCUCACCGGCUCAGAGUGUUAUUUUGUUUGCUCGCUAGCUCGUAGUGUUAUUUUGUUUGCUAGCCAGCUCGUAGUGUUUUUUUGUUUGCUCGCUGGCUCGUAGUGUUAUUUUGUUUGCUCGCCGGCUCGGAGUGUUAUUUUGUUUUCUUGCCGGCUCAAGGUGUUAUUUUGUUUGCACACUGACUCGUAGUGUUAUUUUGUUUGCUCGCCAGCUCGUAGUGUUAUUUUGUUUGCUCACCGGCUCAGAUUGUUAUUUUGUUUGCUCGCUAGCUCGUAGUGUUAUUUUGUUUGCUAGCCAGCUCGUAGUGUUUUUUUGUUUGCUCGCCGGCUCGUACUGUUAUUUUGUUUGCUCGCCAGCUCGCAGUGUUAUUUUGUUUGCUCGCUGACUCAUAGUGUUAUUUUGUUUGCUAGCCAGCUCGUAGUGUUUUUUUGUUUGCUCGCUGGCUCGUAGUGUUAUUUUGUUUGCUCGCCGGCUCGGAGUGUUAUUUUGUUUUCUUGCCGGCUCAAGGUGUUAUUUUGUUUGCACACUGACUCGUAGUGUUAUUUUGUUUGCUCGCCAGCUCGUAGUGUUAUUUUGUUUGCUCACCGGCUCAGAUUGUUAUUUUGUUUGCUCGCUAGCUCGUAGUGUUAUUUUGUUUGCUAGCCAGCUCGUAGUGUUUUUUUGUUUGCUCGCCGGCUCGUACUGUUAUUUUGUUUGCUCGCCAGCUCGCAGUGUUAUUUUGUUUGCUCGCUGACUCGUAGUGUUAUUUUGUUUGCUCGCCAGCUCGUAGUGUUAUUUUGUUUGCUCACCAGCUCGUAGUGUUUUUUUUGUUUGCUCGCCGGCUCAUACUGUUAUUUUGUUUGCUCACCGGCUCAGAGUGUUAUUUUGUUUGCUCGCCAGCUCGUAGUGUUUUUUUUGUUUGCUCGCCGGCUCGUACUGUUAUUUUGUUUGCUCACCGGCUCAGAGUGUUGUUUUGUUUGCUAGCCAGCUCGUAGUGUUACUUUGCUUUGUCGCCAGCUCGUAGUGUUAUUUUUUUUUGCUUGCCAGCUCUAGUGUUGUUUUUUUUGCUUGCCAGCUCGUAGUGUUAUUUUGUUUGCUCGCUGGCUCGGAGUGUUUGAAACGGCUACCCAGGUUGUAGAGGGGUAUUAGCCGUUGGAGACGUCCUUCUUCCUGGCAAGAUGCUGUGCUGUAGUGGAGUUGCGCUAUUCCAUCUGCUGAAUCUGAGUAGAGAGUAAAGCAGAGCUCUUAAAAGAGCUACUGAUUAUGCUGAGCAGAUUCCCUUUUAAUAACGAGACGAGGCUACAUUUUGAAGGGUGAAGUAGAACUGUUUUAAUGACCACACAAGCAGCUGCUUUUAUGCAGGUUUUACAGUAAGGUUGCCACCCACGUGGACCUUGUGGGGCACUGACAAUGGGAAUGCAACAUCCAAUCAGUUACAAUUGUACAGUAAAAGCACACCCAUGAAUUACAGUACAUUCCUCCCCUCUGCUUAGGAGAUAAUUGAGUUAAUCGUUAUAUCAGCUCAAUUAUCUCCAAGCUAAAAAAUAUACUUUUCCACAUUUUUCAUAACUUUAAAACUAUGCAUAGGAUUUUAACAAAAGUUACAUUUUAAUAACCAAUACAUUCAGGGAAACAACAUAUCCAGAAAUGGAACAAACAGGCCCAGUGUUUUUCACUAAUAGUGAAAAGGUGGAUGUGACCAACCACUCACACAUUUCUCUGCCCAGAAUAGUUCCACAGUUUCAGUCUCUGCAGUCGGACUAUUACCCCUUUGUAAUAAGUCUAAAAUGCACGAACGGAAUUGUUUGUGCCUGACAUCACUGGAUCUAGUUUGUUCGGAUGAACAAACUAACGAAUUAGCGCUUUGUUCGUAUGAGUCUAGUCGAACGCACAGAAGGUAGAAGUUCAGCGGUGUUCGUGAAAAUAGGUAGCCAAAAACAGUUCCACCGGUCGACGACCAAACACCGCUGAGUGCGUUCGACUAAACAAAAUGGCCGCUGCCACGUGUUUGCACAUAUGAACGCUGACUCGGUUAAUCCAUUGGAACGUUGAGGUAUUUGUGGUUUAUAACAGGUCAAGCGGGUUAAUUGCUGGCACACUCCUGCUCUGGGUGGUCGGUCGUUCGACAAAAAAUAUGGUAUUCGAACAGCUAAGGCCAAAUGCACGAUUAGUCACUUUGGGGAAUGCAAAUACACGAACAGUGUUCUCGGUGAUAGGAAGCAAUGUUAAUGACUGUAAGGAAAAGGUUUUGGGUACCCCGUUGGGCUAAGGUUCCCAGGAAAUACUGUAGAUUCUGUUACAGUGUUAUUUUGCUUGCUCGCCAGCUCGUAGUGUUAUUUUUUUUUGCUCGCCAGCUCGUAGUGUUAUUUUGUUUGCACGCUGACUCGUAGUGGUAUUUUGUUUGCUCGCCAGCUCAGAGUGUUAUUUUGCUUGCUCGCCAGCUCGUAGUGUUAUUUUGUUUGCUCAACAGCUCGUAGUGUUAUUUUGCUUGCUCACCGGCUCAGAGUGUUAUUUUGCUUGCUCGCCAGCUCGUAGUGUUAUUUUGUAUGCUCUCCAGCUUUGCAUUGCAUGCUAGUUUAGUUUAUAGAUUUGCCUUGCUGGCACAUCUCCUGCAAGUCUGUGAUAGGAAAUUUGAGUUUAUAUGUGACAUUACCUUUUUGAUUACUUUUUUCCAAUUUCCAGCUUUACUUAGAGAAUAAUCAAGGUCGGCAGAACCUGCAUGCCGAGUUAGCACAGUUAUCUUCUAUAGUGCGCAGUGAGAGCGUUAUAUUCUGCGAAAUGGAACAGCUUUAUAAAUAGAAUCGCGUUUUUCUUAUUACCGCGUACAGUAUUUUGCCAAUUGCUGUGUCUUGGCCCUCAUACAGAGCCGCAGUGGUUCCCUCCUCUCUCUGCUCUGGGAAUAGGCUUCUGCGGUGUCGGUUACACUGUGUUUCAGCUCUUGUGGUUUUUCUUAUCAUAUUUUCUUGUUAAUCAAUGUCCUUGGGUAAGAGGUUGCUAUGGUAACCAGCUAUCUAAUUCAAAUUGGGCCAGUGGCCAUGAUAUUCUCACAGGCUGCAGGUUAACCUGCGAUGGCGGCCCUUGGUCCACGUUACCUGGGACACGGCUAUGCACCGUGCCAUGUCUUGGAUUUAACUCUGUAUGAGCCAAACAGUGAAAGGGACAGGCGUGACACGUCCAUUAAUAAAACUGUCAUUAACAUCAAAAUGCUGCUUACUCAGAAUGGAGCAAUCGCUACAGAAAGUGCUGGAAUGCUGCAUUGCUCGUCAUAAACCGCCCUGCGCUCCCCGUGAUCCCACUCGGCUGCAUGCGGAGAUCUGUCUGCACAGAAAUCACCGUCCAGUGAGGCACUAAAUAGCACCUACCCCAAGCAGAGCCAGCAGCUCGCCCAUGGAGGACCCACCGUAUAGACACCCAGUAAAGCCCCACCGCCAACAGCCAGUCCAAUCCAGGGAAAUAAGGAAAUCUCCCAGCACAAACCUUGUACAAAAAAGGUGUCUCUUUAUGGAACGGACAAAUCAAAUGGCCUCUAAGAGGUUUGGAUUAUUGUUAUUAUUAUUUUUAUAGCACCCACAUAUUCUGCUGCGCUGUAUAACAGGUGGACUAACAGACACGUAUUUGUAACCAGACAACUUGGAGGCACAUGAACAGAGGGAUUGAGGCCCUGCUCAAAGAGCUCACAUUCUAGAUAGACUGUUAGUGGCCGUAACGUCACCCCUUUGAUUUGGCGCUUCCCCCGUGCUGUCAGCUUUGUGCUGGAAGAUUGUCUUAUUUCUACCCUAAACACACACGGUUCCUGCAACAAGAUACCCAACGCCCAUUAUACCCUCUAAUUGCUUGAAAGCAGAGCUUGUUCAAUCUCGAGACAGAGUUUGUUCAAUCUCGCUAUUUUGGCCUUAAAUUUGAAAUUCACUUUGAAUUCUCACGUUAGUAAAUAACCGUGAUAGUCUUUAUUAUAGAAACAGAUAACCUGUUACUGUCUGCAGGCAGUUAGUGCCUAUUAACACCAUACCUCCCAAGUGUCCCUAUUUUGGAUGACAGUCACUAUAUUCUACCCAAUUCCCUCUUUCUUUCCUAAUUUCCCUCUAUUUUAGGAGCUUCAUAUUGUUGGUGUGUCUGAGUGUAUAACAGAGCUCCACUGCAAUAAUACUUCCAGUAAUGUGUCAGAGUGUAUAACAGAGCUCCACAGCAAUAAUACUCCCAGUAAUAUGUCUGAGUGUAUAACAGAGCUCCACAGCAAUAAUACUCCCAGUAAUGUGUCUGAGUGUAUAACAGAGCUCCACAGCAAUAAUACUCCCAGUAAUGUGUCUGAGUGUAUAACAGAGCUCCACAGCAAUAAUACUCCCAGUAAUGUGUCUGAGUGUAUAACAGAGCUCCACAGCAAUAAUACUCCCAGUAAUGUGUCUGAGUGUAUAACAGAGCCCCACAGCAAUAAUACUUCCAGUAAUGUGUCUGAGUGUAUAACAGAGCUCCACUGCAAUAAUACUUCCAGUUAUGUGUUUGAGUGUAUAACAGAGCUCCACAUCAAUAAUACUCCCAGUAAUGUGUCUGAGUGUAUAACAGACCCCCACAGCAAUAAUACUCACAGUAAUGUAUCUGAGUGUAUAACAUAGCUCCACAGCAAUAAUACUCCCAGUAAUGUGUCUGAGUGUAUAACAGAGCUCCACAGCAAUAAUACUCCCAGUAAUGUGUCUGAGUGUAUAACAGAGCUCCACAGCAAUAAUACUCCCAGUAAUGUGUGAGUGUAUAACAGAGCUCCACAGCAAUAAUACUCCCAGUAAUGUGUCUGAGUGUAUAACAGAGCUCCACAGCAAUAAUACUCCCAGUAAUGUGUCUGAGUGUAUAACUGAGCUCCACAUCAAUAAUACUCCCAGUAAUGUGUCUGAGUGUAUAACAGAGCUCCACAGUAAUAAUAUUCCCAGUAAUAUGUCUUGGUGUAUAACAGAGCUCAACAGCAACAAUACUCCCAGUAAUGUAUCUGAGUGUAUAACAUAGCUCCACAGUAAUAAUACUCCCAGUAAUGUGUCUGAGUGUAUAACAGAGCUCCACAGCAAUAAUACUCCCAGUAAUGUGUCUGAGUGUAUAACAGUGCUCCACAGCAAUAAUACUCCCAGUAAUGUGUCUGAGUGUAUAACAGGGCUCCACAGCAAUAAUACUCCCAGUAAUGUGUCUGAGUGUAUAACAGAGCUCCACAGCAAUAAUACUCCCAGUAAUGUGUCUGAGUGUAUAACAGAGCUCCACAGCAAUAAUACUCCCAGUAAUGUGUCUGAGUGUAUAACAGAGCCCACAGCAAUAAUACUCCCAGUAAUGUGUCUGAGUGUAUAACAGAGCUCCACAGCAAUAAUACUCCCAGUAAUGUGUCUGACUGUAUAACAGAGCUCCACAGCAAUAAUACUCCCAGUAAUGUAUCUGAGUGUAUAACAGAGCUCCACAGCAAUAAUACUCACAGUAAUGUAUCUGAGUGUAUAACAGAGCUCCCUGGCAAUAAUACUCCCAGUAAUGUGUCUGAGUGUAUAACAGACCUUCACAGUAAUAAUACUCCCAGUAAUGUGUCUGAGUGUAUAACAGAGCUCCACAGCAAUAAUACUCCCAGUAAUGUGUCUGAGUGUAUAACAGAGCUUCACAGCAAUAAUACUCCCAAUGUGUGUCUGAGUGUAUAACACAGCUCCACAGCAAUAAUACCUCCAGUAAUGUGUCUGAGUGUAUAACAGAGCUCCACAGCAAUAAUACUCCCAGUAAUGUGUCUGAGUGUAUAACAGAGCUCCACAGCAAUAAUACCUCCAGUAAUGUGUCAGAGUGUAUAACAGAGCUCCACAGCAAUAAUACUCCCAGUAAUGUGUCUGAGUGUAUAACAGAGCUCCACAGCAAUAAUAAUUCCAGUAAUGUGUCUGAGUGUAUAACAGAGCUCCACAACAAUAAUAAUUCCAAAGAACGCAUUGUCUGGAGUGUAAAAUGAGCCCACAGCAAUAAUAUUCCCAGUAACGCGGUCUGAGUGUAUAACAGAGCUCUUCACACACACACCCCAGUAAAGUGUCCGGAAAGUGUGUAUACCAGAGCCCACAGCACACAUUCCAGUAAUGUAGUCUGAGGUGCUACCAGGGUUCCCCGCACACACACCCCAGUAACGUGUCUGAGUGUAUAACAGAGCUCCACUGCAAUAAUACUCCCAGUAACUGUGUCUGAGUGUAUAACAGAGCUCCACUGCAAUAAUACUCCCAGUAAUGUAUCAGAGUGUAUAACAGAGCUUCACAGCAAUAAUACUCCCAGUAACGUGUCUGAGUGUAUAAGAGAGCUCCACUGCAAUAAUACUCCCAGUAACGUGUCUGAGUGUAUAACACAGCUCCACAGCAAUAAUACUCCCAGUAAUGUGUCUGAAUGUAUAACAUAGCUCCACAGCAAUCAUACUCCCAGUAAUGUGUCUGAGUGUAUAACAGGGCUCCCCGGCAAUAAUACUCCCAGUAACGUGUCUGAGUGUAUAACAGAGCUCCACUGCAAUAAUACUCCCAGUAACUGUGUCUGAGUGUAUAACAGAGCUCCACUGCAAUAAUACUCCCAGUAAUGUAUCAGAGUGUAUAACAGAGCUUCACAGCAAUAAUACUCUCAGUAAUGUGUGAGAGUGUAUAACAGAGCUUCACAGCAAUAAUACUCCCAGUAAUGUGUCAGAGUGUAUAACAGAGCUCCACAGUAAUAAUACUCCCAGUAAUGUGUCCGAGUGUAUAACAGAGCUCCACAGCAAUAAUACUCCCAGUAACUGUGUCUGAGUGUAUAACAGAGCUCCACAGCAAUAAUACUCCCAGUAAUGUGUCCGAGUGUAUAACAGAGCUCCACAGCAAUAAUACUCCCAGUAAUGUGUCUGAGUGUAUAACAGAGCUCCACAGCAAUAAUAAUUCCAGUAAUGUGUCUGAGUGUAUAACAGAGCUCCACAACAAUAAUACUCCCAGUAAUGUGUCUGAGUGCAUAACAGAGCUCCACAGCAAUAAUACUCCCAGUAAUGUGUCUGAGUGUAUAACAGAGCUCCACAGCAAUAAUACUCCCAGUAAUGUGUCUGAGUGCAUAACAGAGCCCCACAGCAAUAAUACUCCCAAUAAUGUGUCUGCCUGUAUAACAGAGCUCCACAGCAAUAAUACUCCCAGUAAUGUGUCCGAGUGUAUAACAGAGCUCCACAGCAGUAAUAAUACUCCCAGUAAUGUGUCUGAGUGUAUAACAGAGCUCCACAGUAAUAAUACUCCCAGUAAUGUGUCUGAGUGUAAAACAGAGCUACACAGCAAUAAUACUCCCAGUAAUGUGUCUGUGUAUAACAGAGCUCCACAGCAAUAAUACUCCCAGUAAUGUGUCUGAGUGUAUAACAGAGCUCCACAGCAAUAAUACUCCCAGUAAUGUGUCUGAGUGUAUAACAGAGCUCCACAGCAAUAAUACUCCCAGUAAUGUGUCUGAGUGUAUAACAGAGCUCCACAGCAAUAAUACUCCCAGUAAUGUGUCUGAUUGUAUAACAGAGCUCCACAGCAAUAAUACUCCAGUAAUGUGUCUGAGUGUAAAACAGAGCCCCACAGCAAUAAUACUCCAGUAAUGUGUCUGAGUGUAUACAGAGCCCCACAGCAGUAAUGUGUCUGAGUGUAUAACAGAGCUCCACAUCAAUAAUACUCCCAGUAAUGUGUCUGAGUGUGUAACAGAGCUUCACAGCAAUAAUACUCCCAGUAAUGUGUCUGAGUGUAUAAUAGAGCUCCACAGCAAUAAUACUCCCAGUAAUUUGUCUGAGUGUAUAACAGAGCUCCACAGCAAUAACACUCCCAGUAAUGUGUAUGUGUGUAUAACAGAGCUCCACAGCAAUAAUACUCCUGGGUGUCAACCUUGUGGGGAGCUGUGUAUAACAGAGCUCCACAGCAAUAAUACUCCCAGUAAUGUGUCUGAGUGUAUAACAGAGCUCCACAGUAAUAAUACUCCCAGUAAUGUGUCUGAGUGUAUAACAGAGCUCCACAGCGAUAAUACUCCCAGUAAUGUGUCUGUGUAUAACAGAGCUCCGCAGCAAUAAUACUCCCAGUAAUGUGUCUGAGUGUAUAACAGAGCUCCACAGUAAUAAUACUGCCAGUAAUGUGUCUGAGUGUAUAACAGAGCUCCACAGCAAUAAUACUCCCAGUAAUGUGUCUGAGUGUAUAACAGAGCUCCACAGUAAUAAUACUCCCAGUAAUGUGUCUGAGUGUAUAACAGAGCCCACAGCAAUAAUACUCCCAGUAAUGUGUCUGAGUGUAUAACAGAGCUCCACAGCAAUAAUACUCCCAGUAAUGUGUCUGUAUAACAGAGCUCCACAGCAAUAAUACUCCCAGUAAUGUGUCUGAGUGUAUAACAGAGCUCCACAGCAAUAAUACUCCCAGUAAUGUGUCUGAGUGUAUAACAGAGCUCCACAGCAAUAAUACUCCCAGUAAUGUGUCUGAGUGUAUAACAGAGCUCACAGCAAUAAUACUCCCAGUAAUGUGUCUGAGUGUAUAACAGAGCUCCACAGCAAUAAUACUCCCAGUAAUGUGUCUGUGUAUAACAGAGCUCCACAGCAAUAAUACUCCCAGUAAUGUGUCUGAGUGUAUAACAGAGCCCCACAGCAAUAAUACUCCCAGUAAUGUGUUAUAACAGAGCUCCACAACAAUAAUACUCCCAGUAAUGUGUCUGUGUAUAACAGAGCUCCACAGCAAUAAUACUCCCAGUAAUGUGCCUGAGUGUAUAACAGAGCCCCACAGUAAUAAUACUCCCAGUAAUGUGUCUGAGUGUAUAACAGAGCUCCACAGCAAUAAUACUCCCAGUAAUGUGUCUGUGUAUAACAGAGCUCCACAGCAAUAAUACUCCCAGUAAUGUGUCUGAGUGUAUAACAGAGCUCCACAGGAAUAAUACUCCCAGUAAUGUGUCUGAGUGUAUAACAGAGCUCCACAGUAAUAAUACUCCCAGUAAUAUGUCUUUAAACUACAAUAAAUGUGUUUAUUAAUCAGUCGGUGUAAAUAAGACACAUUGUUCUUGUUAUAAAUUACAUUUAAUUCUAUAAAUUUUUAUUAGUAAGUCAGAACAGACUGCCCCUGCCCACUUCCUCACUCACCCCCCUAAAAUUAAAGGGUCCCUCUUUGUCCAUGGGAAAUGUGAGACUGUAUGUAAGAGCACUUUGCAGAAAUCACACAUUUAUAAUCCAUCCCCGUUUCUGAUAGACAUCACUGGAGGAAUCGAUGAGUUCAUCUCUGCAUGUACACCUAUGUUGACAUAUACUAAGUGUCUGCUGUACAGCUUACUGUAAGGUCACAUCUAAACCUUCAUUCAUUGACACCAAGAAAGUACUAACGAGAACACUGACACUGGCCAUUAAUUCAACAGCCUCCAUGGGGGCUGAAUUAGCGGUGUGAACAAGAUAAAAUAUUAAUUUAGAGGGUGGGCGCAUGUAUAGUAUUAACGUAAGAGCAAAUAAUUUUUCUGUUUUCCUCACUCGGUAUGUCUGUCUGUGACAUGUCUUGAUUCCCCUACUACCUCUGAUGGAAUCCUGUGCCACGCGUCCACUACCUUUUCAUCGCCCUGUGCAUGUAGGCUGCUGCAGAUAAACUCUCAUAAGAUUUAAUUACCAUUUGUCACCAGGUAUUACUGCAGACGCUAGGGACGAGUAGACGAAUUGGUGGUGACAUUUUCAGGAGGAGAGCUUGAAUAUAAAAGCACUCUUUAAACACUUCAUUUUUAGUACAAUCUCUGCCUGCUUUGUAAAGUAGGGUACAUUGUUACCAUGGAAACCUUCUUCACUGGUGGGAUGCCUGAGACAGGGAUGACAUAGCUGCAACUCUGCUGCUGACUGAGAGUAUUGGGAGUUUUGAAUCCGAUAUACAGACUGGCCAUUUCAACCCUCAGACACACAGACCUUAAUGGACAGAUUUAAACCAUAAACUCACACUUCAUUUUCAGACAAUGUUAUCAGGCUUCGAUCGGAAACAGGAAAACCUGCAAACUUGUUUUGAUAAAGUGAACAUUUUCCUAACGUCCAGGAUUUUUGUAAUAAAAACAGUUCUUAACUUUAAUUCACAUAUUCACACAGUUAGUUGUGACGCAAAAUUCUCAUAUCAUUAACACACAGAAUGUGCAAAGUUGCCCAUAAAACAUCCAUAUCGUCUAUCGUCUUACCGUCUUGAAUAAAGUAAAAGACUCCCACCCGCCAUACCCUGCAAGGCCCCAUCCCCAACGGUAAGGCUUACCAUCCUUGCGGUAGAAGGAAAUCUCCACCUUACGCUCCUCGGAUCCCACCAGAGCCUGGGCGAUUUGAGACACAGCGCUGGAGGUGGUACGCGGUCCGUACAGGAAAUCACAGGUACACGGCCUCUGCAUGACCUCAGCCCGUGUAUACCCACACAUGGUACAGAAGCCAUCGUUACAGUAAAUGACUGCGCAGUUUUCCACACGGGCAUUGGCGAUGAUGAAUUUGCGGCCUGUGCACACACAAAAUAAAAAGAGUUAUGUUAAAGAUUUAAGGCGUUUAUGAUGCAUUAUUUAUAUUGAAAUGCUUUCCAUUUAAAAAGGAGAUUGUAGAACAUUAUCCCGACAUAGCAAGCACCCAAGCUGGGCGACCGGGCCCUGUAAUAUCUGCAGCCGGGGUGCAAGUGAGAGCCGGUCACUUCAUCCCAAAUACAUGUAUACAUGGGAGGGAUACAGGGAGAGCAAGGAGAAUGAGUCGGUCACUUCAUCCCAGAUACAUGUAUACAUGGGAGGGAUACAGGGAGAGCAAGGAGAGUGAGUCGGUCACUUCAUCCCAGAUACAUGUAUACAUGGGAGGGAUAUGGUGGGGAGCAAGGAUGGAGAGCCGGUCACUUCAUCCCAGAUACAUGUUGUAGCAGAAUGGACCCUGCUAUCCUAAUUUAUACCAACUCUGGGCUGUCCGUAUACCCUUUGUUUUUCCCCUCCUUGACCCCCUGUGUGAGAAAGUAACCCUAAUUGUGCGAGACUCACUCCCCUGUUUCGCCUGGCCGUUCGUCAAAAUCCAUUCCCUUAAGUGGUUCCCAUGGUUUUGUACAACUACCGAACGGAGUGUGCCGCUCAUUAACUCCAUUCACACCUCCACAAACCGCAACCAUGUUCUAAGCCGUCAGCUAGAUGGUCGCCGUUCGUAUAGAUGGACACAUGGCACGGGCCAUCUUGGAACACGUACAAAGGCAGCGAUGUUUGGUCAUUGGUUGCAUGGAACUAAAAUCGGACACUCAACGGCGCGAACGCCACUAGGACUUCCACCUCCAUCAAAGUUCACCUAAAAGUGCAUGAACAGUGCACUAUUCGGUAAAAUUUACACAUUAUUUGACUUAGAAGAUAGACCGGCCACACAGCCUAAUUCUCAGCAACUCUUUUGGGCAUGAAAGUAAGCGUGCGGUCGGUCAAAUGUGACUUCCAUAGAAUUCGUGAACUCCUGCUCUGAUCUGGGUAUUUUUUGGAUAUGUUGUUUACCCAGAUCAGGGCUAUACAGGGAUGUGCCAUUCAUGGGGAUAUGUCAUGUUUUGGGGGUACUUCUAGAAAAUGUGAAAUAUGUGUUUUUCUUGCCUGGAUAUAAUUGAGUUAUUACAUUAUCUACCUCAAUUAUCUACCAGGCAGAGGGGAGGGCUUGCACAUACUGUAUGGGAGUGUCUCUAUGUAUAACCCUGUUUCAUUGGUCUGUGAACUUUGUAUUUCGGUGCCCCCACAAGGUCCACCUGGGUGUCAACCUUGUGGGGAAAAUCACAUAAAAGGCAGAGUCCCAGCAUUAAAAGUCAGUUAUUCCCCCAAAACUGAGUGUCGUCCAGUUACUGGGGAGGUGUUGGGAGAAUCUGUAUUGCUUUGCUGUGUUUAGCUGUUCCUGUGGAUUACCUUCCUUGUUCCUGAGUCAUCUUGGAGAAAACCAGCGGAAAAAGGUCCCUGCUAAGACUAGCGCUCCGCUACACAUGUAUACUUGGGAGGGAUAUGGUGGGGAGCAAGGAGAGUUAGCUGCUCAAGACCCACAUCUUAUCAACUUCAGCUAACAGCAGGACCCAGAGCAAGCCGGCGUGUAUGAGGUAUAUUAACAUGAGGGUGGCUAAAAAUGAUAACAUGUAUGUGUGUAUUUACUUAUCUAUUUGUCAGUGUGUGUGUGUGUGUGUGUGUGUGUAUGUGUAUGUGUACCUGAGUGUGUGCAUAUGGGUGUAUGUGUCAGUAUGUCAGUGUGUGUAUGUGUCAGUGUUUGUGUGUAGGUGUCAUUGUGUGUAUCUGAGUGUGUGUGAAUGUGUCAGUGUGUUUAUAUAUGUGUGUCAGUAUAUGAUAAUGUAUCUAUAUCUAUGUGCAUACAUUCCAGCAACUAAACACACUCCUACAUUAAAACUCAAUAAUUAUGUACAAACACCCCUUUGUUCAAACACCAACACUACACACAAAAGCAAACCAGCAUUUAAAAGCCAACACUACAUAUUAACACAUUGCUGCAAUCAAACAAUGCAUACAAGUAGAGGGUAGUGGAUGCAUGGAAUAGCCUUCCAGCUGAAGUGGUAGAGGUUAACACAGUACAGGAGUUUAAGCAUGCAUGGUGUGACAAACUGCCCUUUGCCCCUGGAUUUUGGAGAAGCCUGAUUGCCAGCCUUCUGCCUUAUGACUAUGGCCCUGGGGUGUAUUUUCCUUUAAGAACAAUGUCCCUUUUUAAACUGUGUCCCUAGACUGUAAAAAUCCUUUUUCCCAUUUGGUUUAGUAAAUGGGGUUACCGAACAAAAUACCGAACAAGCGGACCACACACAAGUGGAGUGUGCAGCUAAUUUAUCUCCCAGGCUGGUGGUUAACCGCAAGCCAAUUGUCGAACGGCUGGGUGGUGUGGGGAUAUUUAUGGGAUAAUAAUAGUAAACAGUUGAGAAUUGCCCACUAAUUCAAUUCUCAGAUCCCAAAGAACGUUUAUCGUGUUAAGUGGAAUGUAUUUCAUAUAAUAAUAUCACAAUGUAUAAAAAUAGAUUUUUAUUUAUAAUGACAAAUUAAUAAUAAUAUUAUGCAACAUGCAUGACAAUAAUCAAUGAAUAUCCAGUAUAAAUUGGUAUGCAAUACAAAGAAAUGGGUAUUACGUUUCAAUGGCUAAAUAGCAUUUCCUGUCAAGAAUUAUUUAUGACUAUCUUUAACACAGACUGAAAGUGAAACUUUUCACAGCGAAGAACAGAAUUCCUCAGAGUGCAGCGUAAGGUCGUAAAGUUUAGCUGACAGUUAGAAUAACCCUUUCAAUGCUGGCUAGAUCUCCUAGGUAGUUAAGAUCUAUUCUUAUGUCAUUUUUAAAUAAAAUAACAUUUAACCCAGUUCAUUAGUCAUUUCCUGAAACCAUCCAAUAAGAGAAUCUACCAUAUUAUAUAAGCAGAUUUUUAAUUUGUGUAAAAGAUAUCUAUCUUAAUUUAGAGCAAAUCAAUACACCUGGAUAAAAACAGCGGUAUGCUAACACGUGAUAAUAUCACAUCAAUAUAUAAUUAUUCUUAAUUCCACCUGCAGAAUGGAAUGUUUAUAACUAUAUAUUCUUAGUUAACUAAGAUUUCUUAAUAUGGAAAUCUGACCGUGCUUUAUCCAGUCAUAUAUAAUGCUAUUAAUACAUUUUAAUUAAUUUAAUUUAAUUAAAUGAAACCAGUAUAAUUACCAGUUGAGUAGAUAUUUCAUCCGAUUGGUAGUCUCAGGAACUUAUUUGGAUGUCUCUCUCUGCAUGGAGGUUGGAGUCCCCAAACUUCCAAUUCCUCUCUCCUCUUUUUCUUUGCAUAUCUCUUGGAUCUGCCUCCAUAUCCUGCCUCUUCCCUUUGUCUUAACUUUUAAAGGGCCAGACUCUCUGUACGUCAUCAGUUGAUAACCCAAUAGAAGCACUAGAGGUGUGGUUAUCUUCCAGAUCGCAAAUUAGUUAUUUGGUCUAUAGAGGGCAGUCUUGUCCCACUAAACAUACCUAUCCAGGAAAGAGUUAACUUUUCCUGGUGGCUCGUCAUUUUGCUUAUCUCAAAUGACCACUAUAACUUCAAAGAUCAAAGGGUUUCUUAAAUUUUGUCCAGACUAUGUGUCUGGCAAAUCUGCUAUAAUUUCUGAUAUGACAGAUCAUGAACUAAGUUUACCCUUUUCCAUACAAUGGUACCUUAUAUAUAUAGACAGUUAAAUUUUAUUAUUUAAUCUUCUCUGUCACAAUUGUCUGGGUUUAGAUUUGAUUAUAUUCUUCUUAUCACUUGUUUAUACUAUGCUAUGCAUUCCUUAGCUCUGGCAAAGAGGCCAGUCUUACAGAAAGAAAUCUAGUGUCUUCUUUGUUAACUUGAAAUAACAAAAUGGAGUCUGGUCUGUUCAGAGUGACUCAGAAUAUACACUUUUAGUUUCUAUCAUAGCACAAAAUGUCUGCCGAUAUAAAUACUCUGACAGUGGUCACUUCGUAUAGUUGAACAUGUGGCGGCGGCCAUCUUGUUUAGUCGAACGCGGUCAGCAGUGUGUUGCCUUCGAGCUCCUGGAACUAAAAUCGAAUACACGACGGCACGAACACCGCUGAACCUUACCUUCUUUGCAACUUUGACACUUCAAUGGAAAUCGAAGUGCGUUCGAAUAUUCAAAUGCCAUAUUAGCGUUGGAUAUUUGCAUGAACGGCGCCCAUUCGUGCAUUUGAAUGCAACAUAGUAUUUUAACUAUGUGAAAUAGACCAACCACACAGCCUAAAUCUAUGGAACUCUUUUGGGCAGGAAAGCCAUGCUUGCAGUCGGUCAAAUAUGACUUCCAACUAUCUUUCGAACCACUGGGCGAAUUCAUAUGAUUUUUGAAUAUGUUUGUUCACUGAUUAUGCUAGUUCAGAAAAUAUAACUUUUAUGGAAAUUGCAUGUAUAGGUUUGAAGUUAUGAAUAUUGUGUAAAACUGUAUAUUUUCUGCCUGUGAUAAUUAGCUUAGCCCAUUGUGUUCAGUAAUUAUAUCACAGGCAGAGGGGAGGGUUUGUGUGCCUUGGCUUGGAGUGUCUGACUGUACCACAAGGUCCUCGUGGCUGGUAACCUUGUGGGAAAACCUGUAUAAAAGAAAGUCCUGUGUGCUCAUUAAACCAGUUCUACUUGACCCUCAACUCGCAGCCUUGACUCGUAUUUGGAGGGGACAGCUAUAAUCACUACAGGGAUUGCUAUGCUCUUCAUACUCCCUUAGCUUCACUUAAGUUCUUGUUCCUUAUCCUGCUUCGCUCUCUGGAAGGAAGAGAGGUUCACCCACUGGAGCCUUGUCGUAGGUCAAGGGUGGGUAGGAGACGGCGAAACCCCAACCCAGCAGCGGCGGUUCGUGGGGUCUGCGGUGCUGACAGUGUUUCAGUGAGCGCUAGGAGCAUCCUUUCUAUGGUCCAACCCUCAGCUAGCUUGGGGCAACCGUAACACAUUGGAUAGGCAUAAGGCUAUCCUAACUAUAAGAUAAGGCCAGGGACGAAUGAAAGUAUUUAGAAAAUUGGGCAGACUAGAUGGGCUGAAUGGUUCUUAUCUGCCGUCACAUUCUAUGUUUCUAAGUAUACCAUUGCAUUCCAAUUGCAACAAUACAUACAGACACACCCCUACAUGCACACACAUACUCUAUACAGAAACAUGCUUACAUUCAAACACAAAAACACUGCUCACAGAUANNNNNNNNNNNNNNNNNNNNNNNNNNNNNNNNNNNNNNNNNNNNNNNNNNNNNNNNNNNNNNNNNNNNNNNNNNNNNNNNNNNNNNNNNNNNNNNNNNNNCAACCCUUCAAGGAUGGGCAAUGCUAGAUCCCCAGCUGGUGUAGCAUUGAGGGAGUUCAAUAGAUAGGAAAUUAUCUUUUGGCCAACUUUGUACUAGAAAGUACCCCAAAAAUGUCUUGCACCAGGUCCCUCACUACUUUAGUUCCGCCAUUGCAACCAGCCUGAUGAAAGUCACAAUAUGCUGCCUGAGGAUANNNNNNNNNNNNNNNNNNNNNNNNNNNNNNNNNNNNNNNNNNNNNNNNNNNNNNNNNNNNNNNNNNNNNNNNNNNNNNNNNNNNNNNNNNNNNNNNNNNNCGUGUAGUGUGUGAGUGAGGGUGCAGUGCGUGUCAGGGGUGCAGUGUGUGAGGGUGCUGUGAGUGUCAAGGGUGCAGCGUGUGUGCUGUGAGUGUCAGGGGUGCAGUGUGUGUAUGUGUGAGUGUCAGGGGUGCAGUGUGUGUGAGUGAGGGUGCUGUGAGUGUGAGGGGUGCAGUGUGUGUGCUGUGAGUGUCAGGGGUGCAGUGUGUGUGUGAGGGUGCUGUGAGUGUCAGGGGUGCAGUGUGUGUGUGUGUGAGUGUCAGGGGUGCAGUGUGUGUGUGUGAGUGAGGGUGCUGGGAGUGUUAUGUGCCCUGCUGUGCCCUGAUUAUAUCCCCCCUCCCUGCUUACCUUAUGCCUGGGAGGGGGGAUCCUGCUGCUGGGGCUUCCAUCCAUCCCUGGUGGUCCUAGUGGUGAGUGAACUCUAGCCUGUUGGGCUAGAGUUCACUCUCGCGAGACCCAGAGCGUUGCCAUGGCAACGCUCCGAAUCUCGCGAGAGGAACCCGGCGGAGCUGUAAGUUAAAGCUCCGCCGGGUUCCUCUCCUGGCAGGCUGGCUCCCUCCCUCUCUUCCCCGGCGGCCGCAGUAUUCUCUAUGUGGGCCGGUGAGGGAGAUCUCUGAUCUCCCCACCGGCCCGCUGUAGACUACUGCAGGGCCGGCGUUCAGAUAGUGCCGGCCCUGCAAAGACCGGCAGGAGAGAUCCUGUGAUCUCCCUGCCGGCCUCAGCCCCACGGCCACCGUGGCCCACCGGGCAUUUGCCCGGUGUGCCCGAUGGCCAGUCCGGGCCUGCUAGGGAGCGAUUUACAGGCCUCUUCCCCAUGUGACAGGGCUGUGACAAAACUCACUAUUUUGCUUGUGUCUAAGAUAUUCUCCUGCUAAGUUUGUUAAUAUGUUCCUGUGACGAAGUGCCCUUCGCCACUUGUGCCUGGAGAGGACUGCUUGCCCGCCUCUUGCCCUGUGACUAUGGCCCCUGGGAUGUAUUGCCCUUUAAAGACAUGAUUUGGGCAUAAUGGAUUUGUGUUGUGCUGCUGCUGGCCCUUUAAAAACCAUCUGGGGACAUACUGUGGAGUUACUGGGUGGCCACCAUUUCCUGUAUCAGAAGCACAUGGUGAGAACAAUGGAUGGCGCCAUUUUAACUCACAGACACUGUUUGGACUUUUCAACACGGUGCCAUCUUGCCAGUAUUUGGUGCACAGAGACAUCGUGCAGUGGUUUUGGACUAUACAGCAGGGGACACAUUAUAAAGUGAUUGUUUUUCAUUUAGCCUGUAUAUGUUCUGCAGAAUCUGCAUUAAACUGUAUUUUCCAAAGUACUAAUCGGAUCUGGGUGAAUUUUGGAUAUGUGGUUCACCCAGAUCCCCCGGUUCCAAGGAUAUACUUUUAUGGGGUUAUUGCAUGUUUUGGGGUCCCUGUGUGUUUUAUGAAACUGUAUUAUUUCUGGCCAGCAGAUAAUUGAGCUUUGUGUAUUGUAGAAACUCAAUUAUCUAGCCUGACCCAGAGGAGGAGUUUUGUGUUGCAUAAAUUGUGAGUUCUGUGUGCCAGUAAGUCAGUCUUGUUCCAGCAUUAAGCCUUGGCUCAUGUUUGGGGGAAGGGAUACCUACACUCUGGGGAUUGCUAUAAUCACUUACUCCCCAGAGGAAGCUCUUGCAAUAGCUUGAUUUGUUCCUGUUCCUGCUCUCUGGGAAAAGAGAGGUUCACCCACUGGAAGCUGGAUCCUGGCCUUGGGUCCAGGGUGGGUGGAGACAGCAGAGACCCCGGCGCAGUUGCAUCGCUGAAAGUGGGGUCUGCAGUGCUGAUGGUGUCGGUUGGAGUGCUUGGAGUCCUCAGCGAGCACUAGGAGCAUCGAUUGGCGGAGGUACUCAGUCGGAGUGCCAGCUUUCCAUCACAGUUCCCUAACCCCAUUCAUGUCUUCCCCGUUCAGGAGCUACAAUCGACCGAACACUGCCCACCCCCUGGCUCAUUAAACAUCAAAGAAACCACAAACUCAAGUGCUCUCUCUGUGUGGCUGCCGUUCGUAUAACUGAACAACACGUGUGCUGGAAAACGGCGGCCGUCUUGUCGCACGGACGCAGGCAGCGGGACCUGGUCGUUGUAUCUGGAACUAUAAGUUGGACACUCGACCUCGCGAACACCAUCAAUUUAAUUUGUGUGCCUGCUUCUUCCCACGACAAGCCAGGGGAGCGCUGUUCGGUAGGAUUGUUUGCACGAACAAGGUGAACAAUCGCUACCUAUGAGCCAGGGGAACCGUCUGGUUUGGAACUCCUUAAAAUGACCGACCGCUACCACUGAAUCUCUGGAACUGAUGUAUUCGUGGGAUCUGAGCACUAUUUGGACAACUUGGGCGCUCAGAUCCAGGCUAUGCAGGGAAAUAAUAUUUGUGGGGGUUUCUAUAAGGAUUAUACGUAUUCUUUAUAUUUUAUGUUUUAUAGUUUGUAACUCUAGUGCCUGGGAGAUAAUUAGUAAAGUACACUUAAUUAUCUCUCAGACAAAAAGACUCAGGGGCGUGUUGUGGGAGUGUUUGGAGCGUGUUUUACUGUAUCCUUGCUGGAGACCCCAUGCUGGAGGUCUUUGUAUAUAAGUGGGCCCUCUGGCCCUAAUAAAACAGUUCUUGCCAGCGUUAGCACCACACACCAUCGAGGUGGGUUUUUAAAAAAUGAAAUAGUACUGAAGAUAAUGAUUUGCCUAAAAGAAAGUAACGGAUAGUGUGUAAAUCUGCAUUCGUCAAUGCUUUGUAAAUACUCUUCACAGGGUUCGGAUUCGAAAAGCACGUUUUUUAAAGUAGAGACCAAAUACCUCUGGCAGAGUGUUGUAUUUUUGGUCAUUCUGUAAAUUCCAAAUAUAAGAAUAUAUUCAGAGACAGACAGGGUGUAAAAAUGAUUCCAGUGUCAAUUCGGAGUCUCUGUGCUCACUCAGUGUUUUACUCAGAUGUAGACGGACCUCGGAUCUGUUCUGUACGUUUGUAUACUGGAAACAUACACAGUUAAAUUCUUUUGUGCUGGGAAUAAAAUAACAGAAAAUUGUCCAGAUUACACAAUAAAUCUAGCACCAACAUUACUCGUGUUUUAUUAAUAGAACAUAAACAGAUCUCACAAAAUGGAAUUUAAAAAGUCACUAAAGUAUAAAAGCUAUUUAAAUGUGUGUACUAAGCACCCCAGACUAGCAUUUUGUGAUAAAAUAUUGGUUUUACCGUUUAAGGUUCAUGCUAUGUAGCAGAUGCACUGACGAGUCCGCUUGUGCAGUGGUGAUUGUGACGAGACCAAUCUCGCCACAUUGCAUUGGAGAAGCCUGGUUGCUCGCCUGCUGCCUUUGGACUANNNNNNNNNNNNNNNNNNNNNNNNNNNNNNNNNNNNNNNNNNNNNNNNNNNNNNNNNNNNNNNNNNNNNNNNNNNNNNNNNNNNNNNNNNNNNNNNNNNNCACACACACAAUAUCGUGGAAAUCACACACGCAAUCUGACAUACAAUAUCCUUUAAAUCACACACACAGUCUGACAUACAAUAUCCCGGAAAUCACACACACAAUCUGACAUACAAUAUCCCGGAAAUCACACACACAAUCUGACAUACAAUAUCCCGGAAAUCACACACACAAUCUGACAUACUAUAUCCUGGAAAUCACACACAAUCUGACAUACAAUAUCCCGGAAAUCACACACACAGUCUGACAUACAAUAUCCGGAAAUCACACACACAAUCUGACAUACAAUAUCCAGGAAAUCACACACACAGUCUGACAUACAACAUCCCGGAAAUCACACACACAAUCUGACAUACAAUAUCCCGGAAAUCACACACACAAUCUGACAUACAAUAUCGCGGAAAUCACACACAAUCUGACAUACAAUAUCGCAGAAAUCACACACACAAUCUGACAUACAAUAUUGCGGAAAUCACACACACAAUCUGACAUACAAUAUCCAAGAAAUCACACACACAAUCUGACAUACAAUAUCCCGGAAAUCACACACACAGUCUGACAUACAAUAUCCCGGAAAUCACACACACCAUCUGACAUACAAUAUCCAGGAAAUCACACACACAGUCUGACAUACAACAUCUCGGAAAUCACACACACAAUCUGACAUACAAUAUCCAGGAAAUCACACACACAGUCUGACAUACAACAUCCCGGAAAUCACACACACAAUCUGACAUACAAUAUCGCAGAAAUCACACACACAAUCUGACAUACAAUAUCGCGGAAAUCACACACACAAUCUGACAUACAAUAUCCAAGAAAUCACACACACAAUCUGACAUACAAUAUCCAAGAAAUCACACACACAAUCUGACAUACAAUAUCCCGGAAAUCACACACACAAUAUCCAGGAAAUCACACACACAAUCUGACAUACAAUAUCCAUGAAAUCACACACACAAUCUGACAUACAAUAUCCCUGAAAUCACACACACAAUCUGACAUACAAUAUCCCGGAAACCACACACACAAUAUCGCGGAAAUCACACACACAAUCUGACAUACAACAUCCCGGAAAUCACACACACAAUCUGACAUACAAUAUCCCGGAAAUCACACACACAAUAUCCAGGAAAUCACACACACAAUCUGACAUACAAUAUCCAGGAAAUCACACACACAAUCUGACAUACAAUAUCCCGGAAAUCACACACACAAUCUGACAUACAAUAUCGCGGAAAUCACACACACAAUCUGACAUACAAUAUCCCGGAUAUCACACACACAAUCUAACAUACAAUAUCGCGGAAAUCACACACACAAUCUGACAUACAAUAUCCCGGAAAUCACACACACAAUCUGACAUACAAUAUCCCGGAAAUCACACACACAAUAUCCAGGAAAUCACACACGCAAUCUGACAUAUCCCAGAAAUCACACACACAGUCUGACAUACAAUAUCCGGAAAUCACACACACAAUCUGACAUACAAUAUCCAGGAAAUCACACACACAGUAUCCAGGAAAUCACACACACAAUCUGACAUACAAUAUCCCGGAAAUCACACACACAAUCUGACAUACAAUAUCCGGAAAUCACACACACAAUAUCCAGGAAAUCACACACACAAUCUGACAUACAAUAUCCAGGAAAUCACACACACAAUCUGGCAUACAAUAUCCCGGAAAUCACACACACAAUCGACAUGACAUACAAUAUCGGAAAUCACACACACAAUCUGGGAAAUCACACACACAAUCUGACAUACAAUAUCCCGGAAAUCACACACACAAUCUGACAUACAAUAUCCCGGAAAUCACACACACAAUCUGACAUACAAUAUCCUGGAAAUCACACACACAAUAUCCAGGAAAUCACACACACAAUCUGACUUACAAUAUCCAGGAAAUCACACACACAAUCUGGCAUACAAUAUCCCGGAAAUCACACACACAAUCGACAUACAAUAUCCCGGAAAUCACACACACAAUCUGACAUACAAUAUCGCGGAAAUCACACACACAAUCUGACAUACAAUAUCCCGGAAAUCACACACACAAUCUAACAUACAAUAUCGCGGAAAUCACACACACAAUCUGACAUACAAUAUCCCGGAAAUCACACACACAAUCUGACAUACAAUAUCCCGGAAAUCACACACACAAUCUGGAAAUCACACACAAUCUGACAUACAAUAUCCGGAAAUCACACACACAAUCUGACAUACAAUAUCCCGGAAAUCACACACACAAUCUGACAUACAAUAUCCGGAAAUCACACACACAAUCUGACAUACAAUAUCCCGGAAAUCACACACACAAUCUGACAUACAAUAUCCGGAAAUCACACACACAAUCUGACAUACAAUAUCCCGGAAAUCACACACACAAUAUCCAGGAAAUCACACACGCAAUCUGACAUACAAUAUCCCAGAAAUCACACACACAAUCUGACAUACAAUAUCGCGGAAAUCACACACACAAUCUGACAUACAAUAUCCCGGAUAUCACACACACAGUAUCCAGGAAAUCACACACACAAUCUGACAUACAAUAUCCCGGAAAUCACACACACAAUCUGACAUACAAUAUCCCAGAAAUCACACACACAACCUGACAGACAAUAUACCAGAAAUCACACACACAAUCUGACAUACAAUAUCCCGGAAAUCACACACACAAUCUGACAUACAAUAUCCAGGAAAUCACACACACAAUCUGACAUACAAUAUCCCGGAAAUCACACACACAAUCUGACUGACAUACAAUAUCCCGGAAAUCACACACACAAUCUGACAUACAAUAUCCCGGAAAUCACACACACAAUCUGACAUACAAUAUACCGGAAAUCACACACACAAUCUGACAUACAAUAUCCGGAAAUCACACACACCAUCUGACAUACAAUAUCCCGGAAAUCACACACACAAUCUGACAUACAAUAUCCGGAAAUCACACACACAAUCUGACAUACAAUAUCCCGGAAAUCACACACACAGUCUGACAUACAAUAUCCCGGAAAUCACACACACAAUCUGACAUACAAUAUCCCGGAAAUCACACACACAAUCUGACAUACAAUAUCCUGGAAAUCACACACACAGUCUGACAUACAAUAUCCCGGAAAUCACACACACAAUCUGACAUACAAUAUCCUGGAAAUCACACACACAAUCUGACAUACAAUAUCCCGGAAAUCACACACACAAUCUGACAUACAAUAUAUAUCAGAUUGUGUGUGUGUGAUUUCCAUGAUAUCAUAUGACUUGUGCCGUCAAUAAAUGUUGCCUUAAGAUUACCCAGCCGGUAAAUAUUAUUUCUAAACAGGGUCCCAAUCUGGUGCCGGCCCUUUAAGAGAACUGCCGAUAGUGAAGUAUUGUAAUUCCAACGAUAAAAAAUAAAAUCAGAAUCAGGAUUUGGAACUCACAUUUGAUGGAGCUAUGACCAGCUCUGAGAUAAAAGGCACUCAGUGGUAUAAUCCCUACUUCAGGAUAUACUUGAAUGGUAGGUCCGUCCGUCCAACUUAGGUUCCGUCGAAUCUCACAAGAUAUAGGAAACAGCAGAUAGUGCUCUCAGUAGGAACAGUACGAAAUAAAAUAAGAUAAAUAAUACUCACAAAAAUAGAGCAGGAAAUACUGCUCUAUUAUCACAGCGCUGGUGGAAUUAUGCCCACCUAUGGAUUGCUUGGCUGUAGUUUGGACCGGCUCUUGUGUGAGAUGCUUAAUAGUAUGUUCCCCACUGGUGAGUAUGCUGGAGAGGUAGGUCCGUCUGUUCGGCUGAAUUCCGUCGGGCUCCACAGAAUGUAUAAAAUAGUGAUAGUGCUCUCGGUUUGAAAAAAUGAGAUAAAUAAAAUAAAAUAAAAUAUACUUACAAAAAUAGAGCAGAUUAAUACUGCUCUAUUGCCACAGCAUAGGUGGAAUUAUCCCCACCUAGGGAUUUCUUUAGGACAGGAUACAGUAAGAAAAAAUGAUGAAAAAUAUUUAAAAGGAUAAAAUAAAAAAUAAAAUUAUAAAAUGCCAGGAAUAGUACUAAAAAAAGUGUAUAUAAGUACAAUAAAAUAAGUAAAAGAUUGGUCCUAUAAAAGAGGUAACCAAAAAAUAACUUUUAUUGUUUAAAAUACACUAUUAAAACCAUUAACGCGUUUCACCAAUCAGGUUUUUUCAAAAUGGUAAUAGAACAUGAUACCUGGCAUAAAACAGGAUUUAUAAGGGUACACAAUAAUUGAAUUUGGCGCCCAAAUUUUUUUGCACCAGUUGGAAACAAGUAUUAAAACAAUCAUAUUUAACAAGUUCAAAACAGAUAAAAGACUAUUUUGAUGUGUAAAGUUGACUUUCAUAAGUCUUAAAAUGUAUUUAUUUAUGUAAAACGAAUUACUGGUAACUUUAUUAUAUUUAACUUUGAUGGUCACAUGAUCGGGAUUAAAGAGAUUGCCGUGCACAUGCGCAGUCGGAAAUUACCGUGCGCAUGUGCAAUCGGAAGUUGCAUGGGCGGAUCGUUUUACCGCAAUUUAGCUCUGUGGGGCCGGCAUAAGGGAGCAGUGCUCCCUGGGGAAUGUAGUUGGGCAGAUCGAUCUGCCAUGCCGAAUACUAUGUGACCGGCAUAAGGGAGCAGUGCUCCCUGGGUAAUGUAGUUAUGCCGGUCACUAUAUGCUAAGGGAAAAAUGAGAGCAAGCUAGACAAGGAAAAUCCUAUUGUUAGCUGCUCUCAUUUUUAGUGGAAUAUGUGUAUGAAUAAAGAUCACAUUAUGCAGUAUAAGUAUAUUAAAAGCAAAGAUAAAUAUCAAAAAUAAGACAUACUUGAGCAUAGGUUAAAACAAUAGGAUCCAUUUGUAAACAUGGUUAUAAAGAAAAUAAAAAUAAAUAUAAAUAUAAAUAAUUAAAAAGUAGUGUAUUUAGUUAAAAACAUAAAAAACACAAAAAACACAAAAGCAUAUGGCAGAUGAGAACAGGCAAUAUAUUAUAUUGGAAAAAUGUUUGUUUAUAAAAAAUUAUGUAAAUCAAAAUCUGCAUUGAGACCUUGAGGUGUAAGGGUCUGUAAUCUAGAGACCCAUUCCAUUUCUGUUUUUCCUAGAAUGGUUUUUAUAUCUCCUCCUCUCCAAGGUAUUGAACAUUUUUUUAUACCAAUAAAUUUUAACAAUUUAGGAUCUUUAUUAUGGAUUAAGAAAUGUUUUGAUACAGAGUGGUUUAAAUAUCCGUUUUUUAUAUUCCUACAAUGUUCGCUGAGUCUAGUCUUUAGACAUCUAGUGGUCAUCCCCACAUAUUGGAAGCCGCAGGGACAUUCUAAUAGAUAAAUCACAUUUUUAGUGUUACAGUUUAUAAAUUCCUUUAUUUUAAAAGUAGUUUUUGUUUUAUUUGAAGUGAAUUCUGUCAUUUUUGAUGGCAUUGUCGAAUCAGCAGUUUUACAUACAAUGCAAUUUUUACAUUUGGAAAAACCUAUGGAUUGAGGAAAAAAAGAUAAUGAAUUUUUUGGUGGGAUUGUUUUAGUGAAGUUGGUAGUUAAAAUUGAUUUAAAAUUAGAGGCUCCCCUGAAGAUUAUACUUGGCUUUUCUGGGAUAAUUUGACACAGUUUCUCAUCAUGUUCUAAAAUAUGCCAAUGUUUUUAAAUAAUCUUUUUUUAUUUCCCUGCUUUUGUUGUCAUAGUUAAAAGUGAUGGGGAGAGAGAUAGAAUCAUUUUUUCUUUUAGGUUUAUAUAUUAAAAGUUCAUCCCUAUUUUUAUUUUUUAUCUCAUUAAUAUUUUCUAGUAGAUCUGAUUCUGGAUAAUUUUUUUCUAUAAAUGUAUUUUUUAAGACAUCAGCUUGUUCAUUGAAACUUUCUAAUUCUGUACAGUUUCUCCGUAGUCUUAGGAAUUGGCUUUUUGGGGCACUGUCGAGCCAUGGUUUGUAGUGACAACUGUUCUUGUCAAUUACUGUGUUAACACAAACUUUUUAAAAAAAAGUUUUAGUGUGAAUUUGUCCAUUUUUAAUAAAUAUAUUUAAAUCUAAAAAGUUGAUUUGUUCUCUACUAAAUUCAUGAGUUAAAAUUAUGCCUCUGUUAUUAGUAUUAAGAACAUUAAUAAAAGAAAUAAGACUGUCUUCGGGUCCAUUCCAUAUAAAAAAGAGGUCAUCUAUAUACCUAAAAUAUGAGACCAGGUUUGCCCCUAGAUUGUCUCCGUCGUAGAUGGCUGUAGAUUCCCAAUCUGCCAUGAAUAAAUUGGCAUAACUUGGGGCAAACCUGGUACUCAUGGCAUUUCCUCUUUUCUGGGGAUAAAAAGAAUUUAAACACCAAAAAUAAUUGUUUUUUAAAAUGAUGUUAAUACCCUCUAAGAUAAAAUCGAUUUGUUUUUCGGAAAUUCUGUUUUCUUUAGUUAAAAUAUUUUUAAUGGCUUCACAUCCAAUAUUGUGAGGUAUAAUAGUAUAAAGGGAUUGGACGUCACAGGUAACUAAAAUGAAAUUGGGGUUCCAUUUAAAAUGAUUUCAAAAGUUUAAAAGAGACAUAGAGUCCUGGAGGUACGAUUUCAUUUUCUUCACGGCAGGUUGGAGAAGAAUGUCAAUGUAUUGUGAGAGGUUGCAGAGAAGCGAGCCUAUACCUGACACUAUUGGUCUGCCGGGAGGAUUUGUUACAUUUUUAUGUAUUUUAGGUAAGAAGUAAACCACCAGGAUUUUUGGAAAUUUUUUAUCUAAAAAAAGAAACUCCUGUUUUGUUAAAAUACCUUGAGAUACACCUUUGUUUAAAAAGACAGAUAAAAUAUUUUGAAUUGUAUUAGUUGGAUCUGAUAGGAGUUUGUCAUAGACAUCGGUAUCGUUUAGCUGUCUGUGAGCUUCUUCUAUAUACAUGGUGCUGGAUAGGAUGACUACACCUCCUCCUUUAUCAGCUGGUUUUAUAACAAUAUCUUUNNNNNNNNNNNNNNNNNNNNNNNNNNNNNNNNNNNNNNNNNNNNNNNNNNNNNNNNNNNNNNNNNNNNNNNNNNNNNNNNNNNNNNNNNNNNNNNNNNNNAUCGUCUUGUAACUCUUUGAGUGCUUUCCUUUCUUUGUUUGUUAGAUUAUGUGUAUCAUAUUUAUUGGUCUGUAAUUUUUCCAAAUCUUUGGUAACCAGUUUUUCAAAUACUGAUAGUGGAGCAGUCUUCAUAAAAGCUGGGUAAUAUUUGGACUUUUCUUUNNNNNNNNNNNNNNNNNNNNNNNNNNNNNNNNNNNNNNNNNNNNNNNNNNNNNNNNNNNNNNNNNNNNNNNNNNNNNNNNNNNNNNNNNNNNNNNNNNNNAAAAUGUGUAUUUAUAAUGUGAUUGUUUUGAGUUGGGGAAGGAGGUGGAAUAGGGUUGUUGGUACUGAGAAUUGGACUUUCUUCGUUUUUUUCAAUAAAAUAUCAUUUUAAAGUGACUUUGCAGACAAACUUAUUAAUGUCAAUAAAGGCUUCAAAUGGUUUGAAAGAAUUAGUUGGAGAAAGAAUUAGUUGGAGUAUUUCCUGCUCUAUUUUUGUGAGUAUUAUUUUAUUUUGUAUUGUUCCUACUGAGAGCACUAUCUGCUGUUUCCUAUAUCUUGUGAGAUUCGACGGAACCUAAGUUGGACGGACGGACCUACCAUUCAAGUAUAUCCUGAAGUAGGGAUUAUACCACUGAGUGCCUUUUAUCUCAGAGCUGGUCAUAGCUCCAUCAAAUGUGAGUUCCAAAUCCUGAUUCUGAUUUUAUUUUUUAUCGUUGGAAUUACAAUACUUCACUAUCGGCAUUUCUCUUUGUGUUUCUUAUUUCCACAUAAACGGACACUUUUCACCCGGACGGAACCAUAUCCGAGGACUGUAAUCACACCUGAUAUCAGUGGGACUGUUUUUUACUUCAUUUUUAUCCCAUUUGGAGUCUCUCUACUUUUGACCUAUUUUUAUUGAUAACCUGUACAGACAUUAUUAUCAUUAUUAUUUUUAUUUUCAUAUAUAUUUUAACUUGAAAUAAUCCACCAGUUUUUAGUAUUUGUAAAUACAUGUCUUAUACUUAUUGAUUUCCGGUAUAUUAUCCAACAGCGCAGCCCUCAACUCCUCUAUUUAUUUGUCUAUCUCAAAUGGUCUCUGAGGGAUUCCCUCUGAGGGUUGCAGCUUUUCCGUUAUUAAGCGCAGACUCUUCCCCCUCUAUUUUUUUAUCAAAUUUAAUAACAUGCUUGCACUGAGUUUCCCUGAAAUGUGUCUCUGGUGUCUCCAUAAAUGGGAUACCAGGAGACAAAAAUGCCAGGAAAGAGUAUUGUGCAGUGUGUGUGUGUGUGUGUGUGUGAGGGUGCAGUGUGUGCGUGAGGGUGCUGUGUGUGUGUGUGAGGGUUCUGUGUAUGUGUGCUGUAUGUGUGAUCGGUGCAGUGUGUGUGUGUAAGGGGGCUGUGUUUGAGUGAAGGUGCUAUGUGCGUGUGAGGGUGCUGUGAGUGUCAGGGGUGCCGUGUGUGUGUGCGAGUGAGGAAGCUGUGUGUGUCAGGGGUGCUGUGUGUGUGUGUGAGUGAGGGUGCUGUGAGUGUCAGGGGUGCAGUGUGUGUGUGUGAGAGGGUGCUGUUAGUGUCGGGUGCAGUGUGUGUGUCCUCCUUUACUGUGUUGAUUCCCUUUAUAUAUUUAUAUAUUUAUAUUUAUAUAUUUUUUAUAUAUUUUAUAUAUUUAUAUUUAUAUAUUUAAAUGUUUCUAUCAUAUCCCCCCCGUCUCGUCUUCCCUCCAAGCUAUACAUGUUAAGAUCAUUUAACCUUUCCUGGUAAGUUUUAUCCCGCAAUCCAUGAACCAGUUUAGUAGCCCUUCUCUGAACCCUCUCUAAGGUAUCAAUAUCCUUCUGAAGAUACGGUCUCCAGUACUGUGUACAAUACUCCAAGUGAGGUCUCACCAGUGUUCUGUACAAUGGCAUGAGCACUUCCCUCUUUCUACUGCUAAUACCUCUCCCUAUACAAACAAGCAUUCUGCUAGCAUUUCCUGCUGCUCUAUUACAUUGUUUGCCUACCUUUAAGUCAUCAGAAAUAAUCACCCCUAAAUCCCUUUCCUCAUAUGUUGAAGUUAGGACUCUGUCAAAUAUUCUGUACUCUGCCCUUGGGUUUUUACGUCCAAGAUGCAUUAUCUUGCACUUAUCCACAUUAAAUGUCAGUUGCCACAAUUCUGACCAUUUUUCUAGUUUACCUAAAUCAUUUGUCAUUUGGCGUAUCCCUCCUGGAACAUCAACCCUGUUACAUAUCUUAGUAUCAUCAGCAAAAAGACAUACCUUACCAUCAAGACCUUCUGCAAUAUCACUAGUAAAAAUAUUAAAGAGAAUGGGUCCAAGUACAGAUCCCUGAGGUACCCCACUUGUGACAAGUCCAAGCUUUGAAUAUAUUCCAUUAACUACAACCCUCUGUUGCCUGUCACUCAGCCACAGCCUUACCCAUUCAACAAUAUUUGAAUCCAAACUUAAAGAUUGCAGUUUAUUGAUAAGCCUUCUGUGGCGAAACCGACCUCGCCACUGGGCAUUGGAGAAGACUGAUUGCCAGCCUCCUGCCAUGUGACUAUGGCCCCUGGAAUGUAUUGCCCUUUAAAGACAUGAUUUGGACAUAAGGGAUUUGUGUUGUGCUGCUGCUGGCCCUUUAAGAACCAUGUGGGGACAUACUGUGGAGUUACUGGGUGGCCACCAUUUCCUGUAUCAGAAGCACAUGGUGAGAACAAUGGAUGGCGGCCAUUUUAACUCACAGACACUGUUUGGACUUUUCUACACGGUGCCAUCUCGCCAGUAUUUGGUGCACAGAGACAUCGUGCAGUGGUUUUGGACUAUACAGCAGGAGACACAUUAUACAGUGAUUGUUUUUCCUUUAGCCUGUAUAUGUUCUGCAGAAUCUGCAUUAAACUGUAUUUUCCAAAGUAUUGAAUGGAUCUGGGUGAAUUUUGGAUAUGUGGUUCACCCAGAUCCCCCAGUUCCAAGGAUAUACUUGUAACCUUUUAUGGGGUUAUUGCAUGUUUUGGGGUCCCUGUGAUGUGUUUUAUGAAACUGUAUUUCUCUGGCUGUGAUAAUUAGAUUAACCAUUGUGUUCAGUAAUCAUAUCACAGCCAGAGGGGAGGAUUUUGUGUGGGAGUGUCUUUCUGUAAUGUACGUGUGUUAUUGGUUGUUAUGUAAAACCCUGUGGGCAGUACUAAGUUUGUGGAUUGGGAAUAAAAGAGACUGUAUGUGCCAGUCCAGUCAGUUCCUGUUUUAAUCCUCAAAGUGAAGUGUCGUCUCAUUAUUGGGGGAAGGAUUUAUUGUAUGCUGUUCCAGUUUGACUGCUAGGAGAGUAAACCUAUUCGUAUGGUUCCUAUUCAACUGUCUAUAGCAUUCAUAUGCUUGAGAGAAGGUAUACGCUUCUCUGGUUCAGUGAUUGUGGUGUAUUUUUAUGUGUUUUUCUGUGUUGAAUUUAAAAUGGCGAUUUGCCUCUGUCCUGGACAUAAUUAAAUUACUUCUCAAUUAUCUCCAGGGCAGAGGGGAGGAAAUACUAAUGCAUGCUGGGAAUAUUCUGUGUCUCUGGGUCCUAACUUGCCAUAUGUCUGUCUAUUGUUACAGUCUCCCAUUUGGUCCCCUAGGGGAGUGUCCACCAAGUGGGAGACCUGCAUAAACACGGACAGGUAGCCCACAGUAAAGCCAGUUCUUGUNNNNNNNNNNNNNNNNNNNNNNNNNNNNNNNNNNNNNNNNNNNNNNNNNNNNNNNNNNNNNNNNNNNNNNNNNNNNNNNNNNNNNNNNNNNNNNNNNNNNUUUACCCUCAAUGCGGAGCUUGGUCUCGUUAUUGGGGGGGAUUUAUUACCGACGACUAGAGACUGCUGGAUCGGAUUAUUAGCCGCUUGGGAGAUACCUGCUGUGGCGAAACCGAAAAGUUGCACUAUUGAAGGCAACAGAAAAUUGCAUUAGGUUUGUCGGUAAAAGCAAAAAAUUCAAGAAACCACUGUGGUACUCCGCAGAUAUGGCCAAAAUAGUUAAAAACAAAAAGUUAGCAUUUAGGAAUUAUAAAAAAACCCAGAGUGAGGAAGACAAAAUGAUCUAUAAGAUUAGGCAGAAAGAGGCUAAGCAAGUUAUAAGAGCUUCCAAAUCACACACAGAAGAGAAAAUAGCACAGUCAGUAAAAAAGGGGGAUAAAACAUUUUUAGAUACAUAAAUGAGAAAAGAAAAGUAAAACAAGGAUUAGUUAGAUUAAAAACAAAAGAAGGAAGGUAUGUAGAAGAGGAUAAAGGUCUAGCUGACUUCCUCAAUGAAUAUUUUUGUUCUGUAUUUACAGAUGAAAAUGAAGGAAAGGGACCUCAGUGGAGAAAAAGGAUAAAUUAGUCAUUUAUUACACGUGAGUUUACAGAGGAAGAGGUUCUAUUUCAACUGUCAAAAGUAAAGACAAAUAAGUCAAUGGGACCUGAUGGAAUACACCCAAAGCUAUUAAAAGAGCUUAGUGGUGUACUAGCAAAACCAUUAACAGAUUUAUUUAACCAAUCAUUGUUAACAGGCGUAGUCCCAGAAGAUUGGAAGUUAGCGAAUGUUGUGCCCAUUUACAAAAAAGGUAAUAGGGAGGAGUCGGGCAACUGUAGGCCAGUAAGCCUUACUUCAAUAGUGGGGAAAGUGAUGGAAACCAUGUUAAAGGAUAGGAUUGAUGAACAUCUAAAAACACAUGGAUUUCAAGAUCAGAGACAACAUGGGUUUACUUCAGGGAGAUCAUGCCAAACUAAUCUUUUUGAUUUUUUUGAUUGGGUAACUAAAAUUAUAGAUCAGGGUGGUGCAGUAGACAUUGCUUACCUAGAUUUCAGUAAAGCUCUUGACACUGUUGCACAUAGAAGGUGUAACGGAUCACCUGGCACCCCGACUGGGUACCUCCGUUGAAGGAUGCUCCUACCGCUUCCUGAGGACUCCAAGCACUGCAGCAGACACCACAAUCACUGAACCAGAGAAGCGUAUACCUUCUCUCAAGCAUAUGAAUGCUGUAGACAGUUGAAUAGGAACCAUACGAAUAGGUUUACACUCCUAGCAGUCAAACUGGAACAGCAUACAAUAAAUCCUCCCCCAAUAAUGAGACGACACUUCACUUUGAGGGUUAAGCAGGAACUGCUGUGCUGGCACACCCAGCCUGGUUUUUAUUACAGCCUUUCACAUACAGGACCGCCCACAGGGAGGUAUAAACAACCAAUCAAAUAUCAGUUACAUCCCACAUAUUCCCUCCCCUUAUCCUGAGAGGAAACUCAGUUACAUAUACAGUUAAAACAUACUUUCUACCCAACUUUCAUAACUCUAAAACCAUACAUCACAUUCACAUAAAAUUACAUAUUCACAAUCAAUCCAUUCAGGGGAACAACAUAUUUAAAAAUGGCAUGAAUCAGACCAGGGGUUCAAAAGUUAGUAAAAGUAUCUUUUGGGCCCUGGCUGGCACAUGGAUAUCUGGCUCAAACAGGUUUUACAGAGCCCUCUAUCCUGGAGACAAUGGGGGAAAGUAAUCCAAUUAUCCAGGGAUAGAGGCAGACUCCAUUGAGUACAUGGUUGCAAAAAGACAUAAAACACUUUAAAAUACAUAAAGUCACCUUUUACACAUAACACACAGACAUUUCACAUAUCCCCAGAUAGCUGGGAUCUGAGCGCACAAAACUACCGAAUAGCGCUCAGAUCCUAUUCACACAGUUCAAUUGCCAUGGAGCCGAAGUCUUUAACUACACGAAUGGGCUCCAUGGCAUAGCUAUCUGGGUUAACACAUUCACAUAAAAUCUGGUCCAUAGUCCAAAGGCAAGAGGCGGGCAAGCAGCCCCCUCCAAGGACACAUGGCGAGGUCGGUUUCGCCACAGCAGGUAUCUCCCAAGCGGCUAAUAAUCCGAUCCAGCAGUCUCUAGUCGUCGGUAAUAAAUCCCCCCCAAUAACGAGACCAAGCUCCGCAUUGAGGGUAAAACAAGAACUGGCUUUACUGUGGGCUACCUGUCCGUAUUUAUGCAGGUCUCCCACUUGGUGGACACUCCCCUAGGGGACCAAAUGGGAGACUGUAACAAUAGACAGACAUAUGGCAGGUUAGGACCCACAGACACAGAAUAUUCCCAGCAUGCAUUAGUAUUUCCUCCCCUCUGCCCUGGAGAUAAUUGAGAAGUAAUUCAAUUAUCUCCAGGACAGAGGCAAAUCGCCAUUUUAAAUUCAACACAGAAAACAUAUAAAAAUAUAUAACUUUACAAUUGUCGAAUGUUACCCAUUCGUAUCACAUAUCCCCAGAUAGCCUGGAUCUGAGUGCAUAUUAUUGGCGAAUAGCGCUCAGAUCCCAUACGCAUAGUUCAAUCGCCAUGGAGUCAAAGUCUAUUACAGUCUUUUGGUAUGCGAUUGACUCCAUGGGAAGGCUAUCUGGGGUAAGUCCAUUCGUGCAUUUAAACCUCCCGAACGGCCGGUUUUCGCACACUUCUGUUGAUUGAGAAGGGAGGUCGGCGGCUUCAGCGGUGUUCGGCUGAAAAAGUGUCCGUUUUCAGUUCCAUGAAAUCAAUGCCAAACACCGCUGGUUUUUCGCAUGGUUUAAAAUGGCCGCCACCUCGUGUUCGACAUACGAACGAUGACCACCCUGUAUUCGGUUUUAAUUGAGAAGUCUAUUACAGUCUUUCGGUAUGCGAUUGACUCCAUGGGAAGGCUAUCUGGGGUAAGUCCAUUCGUGCAUUUAAACCUCCCGAACGGCCGGUGUUCGUUUUCAGUUUCAUGAAAUCAAUGCCGAACACCGCUGGUCUUUCGCAUGGUUUAAAAUGGCUGCCGCCUCGUGGUCGACAUACGAACAACGACCACCCUGUAUUCGGUUUUAAUUGAGAAGUGUCUGUGGUUAACCGCAACGUUCUAAUUGGGAUCAAGAGGUUAACCAGCAGCACACUUCUCUUCUGGGUGGCCGUCCGUUCGGUAGUUUUGUUCGUCGGAAAAGUCAAUUCACGGAACAGGGGCAUACGAACGGGUAAUUUCAUGAAAAGGCAAAACAGAUGAAUCCAGCAAUCUCAGUCUAUACAGAUGGAUCUGUCACACAUACGAUCGAAACCAGGUUAGCGAACGAUCACAAUACCUGAGUUUUUGAGUUUGUGCAGUAGAAUGUCGUGGUCUACUGUGUCAAAGGCCUUAGCAAAAUCAAGGAAAAUAGCUCCAGUUAGGGCUCCUUGUUCCAUCCAAGUUUGGAUGUCAUUGCAAACUUUUAAGAGGGCAGUUGUAGUGGAGUGAUUCUGGCGAAAGCCCGAUUGAUCAGGGGUCAGAUAGUUUAAUUGUUGGUAGUACUCACAAAGUUGCGUAUGGACACAUUUUUCUAAGAUUUUUGACAAUUACGGGAGCAAUGAUAUUGGGCGAUAGUUAGAAACCAAAGUAGUGUCACCACUUUUAUGGAUAGACACUACUCUCGCAGUCUUCCAAAGUUUGGGUAUGUAUCCAGACACCAAGGAUUCGUUAAUUAGAGUUGAGACGGGUAUAGCAAUUGCCGGCGCACUGAGGCAUCCAACAGUUAACCAACAAAUAUUAAUAUAGAAUAACCAUUGACUAGGGUGAGGACACUGAGGCCCUAACUAUACACCUCAGACCGCAAGAGGAUGCGGCUCCCACCUAGUUCUGCAGCAGAGCCCCCAGUGCUUCCACCCAAGCAGACUGCAAGGGAGAUCUUCUGCCCAGCACCUGACACAGAGUCUCUGGAAGGACCCCCACACUUCUCAUAAACUUGAGGGGGGGAACAGCCCAGUGAAAUCUUGCCGGCACUCCCAUCCUCCAUCGCUGCAUCACCCUGGAGCAUCACCCAAUCGCCAUCAGAGAGAGAGACUCUCUUGCCGCCACCUGAAAAACGGACCAGAUUAAAUUUGGGACUGCAAAGCAGCCUGAAUAUCAGCCAAAAACAGGUCCAAACCUACGGGAUCUAGAUGGACCCCAUCAGGGCAAAAUAUCCCAGGCGUAUCAGUCAUAAUAGUGUGAUGUUGAACAAUAAAACCAUGCACACCAGCAGCAGUCCUGCCCACCAAGAGGUUGACCUUGUUACGGGAUCUGUAAGCAGUGUAAUAGUGGGGUGUACAGGCUCUGUUGUAGUGGGUGUAGAGGGUAGAAUAAUAGUAGGCUGUACAGGCUCCAUUGUGGUGGGUAUAGAGGAUAGAGUAAUAAUGGGGUGUACAGGCUCUGUUGUAGUGGGUGUAGAGGAUAGAGUAAUAAUGGGGUGUACAGGCUCCUUUGUGGUGGGUGUAGAGGGUACAGUGUAAUAGUGGGGUGUACAGACUCUGUUGCGGUGGGUGUAGAGGGUUCAGUGUAAUAGUGGGGUGUACAGGCUCCGUUGUGGUGGGUGUAGAGGGUAGAGUAAUAGCGGGGUGUACAGACUCCUUUGUGGUGGGUGUAGAGGUCACAGUGUAAUAGUGGGGUGUACAGACUCAGAGGGUACAGUGUAAUAGUGGGGUGUACAGAGGACUGGCUGUGGUGGGUGUAGAGGGUACAGUGUAAUAGUGGGAGGUACAGGUCUGUUGUGGUGGGUGUAGAGGGUACACAGUGUAAUAGUGGGGGGUGUACAGACUCCGCUGUGGUGGGGUGUAGAGGGUACAGUGUAAUAGUGGGGUGUACAGGCUCUGUUGUGGUGGGUGUAGAGGGUAGAAUAAUAGUGGGGUGUACAGAUUCCGUUGUGGUGGGUGUAGAGGGUACAGUGUAAUAGUGGGGUGUACAGACUCCGUUGUGGUGGGUGUAGAGGGUACAGUGUAAUAGUGGGGGUGUACAGACUCCGUUGUGGUGGGUGUAGAGGGUACAGUGUAAUAGUGGGGGUGUACGGACUCCGUUGUGGUGGGUGUAGAGGGUACAGUGUAAUAGUGGGGUGUACAGGAUCCGUUGUGGUGGGUGUACAGACUCUGUUGUGGUGGGUGUAGAGGGUACAGUGUAAUAGUGGGGGUGUACAGACUCCGUUGUGGUGGGUGUAGAGGGUACAGUGUAAUAGUGGGGGUGUACAGACUCCAUUGUGGUGGGUGUAGAGGGUACAGUGUAAUAGUGGGGUGUACAGGAUCCGUUGUGGUGGGUGUACAGACUCCGUUGUGGUGGGUGUAGAGGGUACAGUGUAAUAGUGGGGGGUGUGUUGAAAAUUGCUAGGGUGUAGAGGGUACAGUGUAAUAGUGGGGUGUACAGGCUCUGUUGUGGUGGGUGUAGAGGGUACAGUGUAAUAGUGGGGUGUACAGGCUCCGUUGUGGUGGGUGUAGAGGGUACAGUGUAAUAGUGGGGUGUACAGACUCCGUUGUGGUGGGUGUAGAGAGUACAGUGUAAUUGUGGGGGUGUACAGACUCCGUUGUGGUGGGUGUAGAGGGUACAGUGUAAUAGUGGGGGUGUACAGACUCCGUUGUGGUGGGUGUAGAGGGUACAGUGUAAUAGUGGGGUGUACAGGAUCUGUUGUGGUGGGUGUACAGACUCCGUUGUGGUGGGUGUAGAGGGUACAGUGUAAUAGUGGGGGUGUACAGACUCCGUUGUGGUGGGUGUAGAGGGUACAGUGUAAUAGUGGGGGUGUACAGGAUCCGUUGUGGUGGGUGUACAGACUCCGUUGUGGUGGGUGUACAGGCUCCCACAUGUAUUAUAUUCUGUGGAUAUUCAUAGCAUUUCACUAUUUUGCUUUUUCUUCUUCUUGUAUUAAAAACGAAAAGUAAAUCGUGAAAUGAUAUAAAAAAAAAAAAAUUAAAUCAUUUUUAUUGUGAAAUAGAAAAACUGACAGAUUUUGUAUGUGGUGGGAAAUCCCUGAAGCGAAAAGGAAUUUUAAAGACAAAUAUAUUUAGUGGCCACCUGUCUUUCUGGUGGUCUAUGAGGAAAACCUGCAUUUUGGCAAUUAACAUGAAUAAAAGAUCUGUCUGUGAUGCAGUAAAUGCGCCUGUUUUUCGGAGAUGUACACUAUUUUGCAGCGUAUUUAGAUCAGGAAUAUUAAUACAUUUACUGAUUAAUUCAUAGGACAAUAUAUGUUCACAGCUAAUUUGCAGGCCAGGAAUGGCUGGAAUGCUAUCUGCUGAUUGACCCUAAAUGAUUGCGAGCUCUGUGGCUCUGGUAAUAACAUUUUGUGUGUUUCCAUGGUGACAGGAUGUCCGAAUGUUUAGAUAAUACUGCAAAGUCUGGUGAAGGUUUAAUAGGCCUCGUGUUCUGCCCAGUGUUAGAACUGGCGGUGUCUCUGGAAUCUGGAAACGAGAGAUAAACGAGUGGCUGUUUAUAUUCAUCUCUUGGAGGCGUCACGGUUGGGGCUCAGGCUACUCGCUGAAUCAAAACGCAGUUAUUACUCCAUGUGUCACAGCCUUCAGCUACAGAUGUGAAAAAAAUAACAAGAUAACAAUGUGUUGGGGGGGGGGAUAACAAUGUGUGGGGGGGAUGACAGUGUGUGGGGGGGUCACAGGUGUGGGGGGGUGACAGUGUGUGGGGGGGGGUGACAGUGUGUAGAGGAGUGGCAGGUGGAGGGGGGUGACAGUUUAUGUGUGGGGUGACAGCAGGAGUGACAGGUGUGGAGGAGUGGCAGUGUGUGGAGGGGUGACAGUGUGUGGAGGGUGACAGUGUGUGGGGGGUGACAGUGUGUGUGGGGGAUGACAGUGUGAGGGGGGAUGACAGAGGUGGAGAGGGGGAUGACAGUGUGUGUGGAGGGGGAUACAGUGUGUGUGUGGAGGGGGGGUGACAGUGUGUGUGGAGAGGGGUGACAGUGUGUGAGAGGGUGACAGUGUGUGUGAGAGGGGUGACAGUUUAUGUGUGGAGGAGUGGCAGUGACAGUGUGUGGAGGAGGACAGUGUGGAGGGUGACAGUGUGUGUGGAGGGGGUGACAGGUGUGGGGGGGUGACAGGUGUGUGGGGAUGACAGUGUGUGUGAGGGAUGACAGAGCGGUGGAGGGGGAUGACAGUGUGUGUGAGGGAUGACAGUGUGUGGAGGGGGUGACAGUGUGUGUGGAGGGGUGACAGUGUGUGUGGAGAGGGGUGACAGUUUAUGUGUGGAGGAGUGGCAGUGUGUGGAGGAGUGGCAGUGUGUGCAGAGUGACACUGUGUUUGAGGGGAGUAGUGGUGGGAGUGGGUGGAGGGGUGACAGUGUGUGGAGGGCUGACAGUGUGUGUGUGGGGGGGUGACUGUGAGGAGGAUGUCAGUGUGUUUUGGUACCCCCUCACACUGUCACAUAGUGUGUGAGGGGAAUGUCAGUGUGUGUGUGUGUGUGUGUGUGGAUGGGGUGCAGUCUGUGAGGGGUGACUGUGUGUGUGUGUGGGUGACAGCCUAUAUCGGGGAGGAUAGUGUGUGUGUGACAGUGUAUAGGGGUGACAGUGUGUGAGGGUAACAGAGUGUGAGGGGGAUGACUGUGUGUGAGGGGUGACAGUAUGUGCGAGUGGGGACAGUGUGUGGUGGGGGGCAGUUAUUGCAUGGGGACAAUGUUUUGGGGGUAACAGUGUGUGGAGGUGUGAUAGUGUGUGAUGGGAGUAACAGUGUGUUUGAGGUAAAUAGCAGUGUGUAGAGAGGUGACAGUCAGGGCCGGACUGGGGAUACAAAGCAGCCCUGGAAAAAAAUGUUAUGCCAGCCCCAUAAAUCACUGCGCCAUAUAUUGUCGCAUGUAAUAUGUAAGGCUAUGUCUUACCACCCCAGAUGACAGAUGAUUGAGUUAUAUAUAUAUAUAUAUAUAUAUAUAUAUAUAUCUUUCUUUUUCUUAAUGUAGUGGUUCUGGUGUCUAUAGCAUGUCCCUACAGGCUUUUCAACGUAAACACUGACUUUUCAGAGAAAAGGCAGUAUUUACAUUGCUUCAAAGUGACACUGCUAGUGACAGGCACUCAGACGGUCACUAGGGGUGCUUCCUGUGUCAGUGCACCUACAUUCAGGGCCUCCACACUCUGUAGGUGCUGAACGUUCCCCAUAGAGAUGACAGACCAUGACACAGACAGACCCACACGCACACCAUGACACAGACAGACACACACACCAUGACAAACACAGACACACACACAUAUACCAUGACACACACACCAUGACACAGACAGACACACACACCAUGACACACACACAUACCAUGACACACCCACCAUGACACAGACAGACAGACCCAUACACACACCAUGGCACAGACAGACACACACACCAUGACACACACACAUAUACCAUGACAAACACACCAUGACACAGACAGACACACACCCCGUGACACAGACAGACACACACCAUGACAGACACACACCAUGACAGACAGACCCACACACACACACAAUAUGACACAGACAGACACACACCCAUAUACCAUGACACACACACAAUGACACAGACAGACAGACCCACACACACACACCAUGACACAGACAGACACACACACCAUGACACACACAUAUACCAUGACACACACACCAUGACACAGACUGACCCACACACACACACACAUAUAUACCAUGACACAGACAGACACACACACCAUGACACACACACAUAUACCAUGACACACACACACAUAUAUACCAUGACACAGACAGACACACACACCAUGACACACACACAAAUACCAUGACACACACACCAUGACAGACAGACACACACCAUGACACAGACAGACACACACCAUGACACAGACAGACAGACACACCAUGACACAGACAGACACCAUGACACAGACAGACACACACACACACACACACCAUGACAGACAGACACCAUGACACAGACAGACAGACACAUCAUAACAGACAGACACAUCAUAACAGACAGACACACAUCAUAACAGACAGACACAUCAUAACAGACAGACACACACCAUGACACAGACAGACAGACACAUCAUAACAGACAGAUACACACACCACACACACCAUGACACAGACAGACAGACAGAUCAUAACAGACAUACACACACACACCAUGACACAGACAAACACAUCAUAACAGACAGACACACACCAUGACACAGACAGACAGACACAUCAUAACAGACAGACACACACACCAUGACACAGACAGACAGACAGACAGAUCAUAACAGACAUACACACACACACCAUGACACAGACAAACACAUCAUAACAGACAGACACACACACCAUGACACAGACAGACACAUACACCAUGACACAGACAGACAGACCAUAACAGACAGACACACCAUAACACACAUUACUACUACCUGCCAGAGCAUCGUGCAGUGCAGACGGUUGUCUGUGCUGGAGUCUGGCGGCCGCUGGGGGAGGUCUGCUGGCGGCCGCUGGGGGAGGUCUGCUGGCGGCCGCUGGGGGAGCUGCGCUGGCUCUGCUCUCCGCCCUUGCACGCUGCUGCAUGAGACAAGGUGCUGAACGUUCCCCAUAGAGAUGACAGACCAUGACACAGACAGACCCACACGCACACCAUGACACAGACAGACACACACACCAUGACAAACACAGACACACACACAUAUACCAUGACACACACACCAUGACACAGACAGACACACACACCAUGACACAGACAGACACACACACCAUGACACACACACAUACCAUGACACACACCAUGACACAGACAGACCCACACCAUGACACAGACACACACACCAUGACACACCCACCAUGACACAGACAGACAGACCCAUACACACACCAUGGCACAGACAGACACACACACCAUGACACACACACAUAUACCAUGACAAACACACCAUGACACAGACAGACACACACCCCGUGACACAGACAGACACACACCAUGACAGACACACACCAUGACAGACAGACCCACACACACACACAAUAUGACACAGACAGACACACACCCAUAUACCAUGACACACACACAAUGACACAGACAGACAGACCCACACACACACACCAUGACACAGACAGACACACACACCAUGACACACACAUAUACCAUGACACACACACCAUGACACAGACUGACCCACACACACACACACAUAUAUACCAUGACACAGACAGACACACACACCAUGACACACACACAUAUACCAUGACACACACACACAUAUAUACCAUGACACAGACAGACACACACACCAUGACACACACACAAAUACCAUGACACACACACCAUGACAGACAGACACACACCAUGACACAGACAGACACACACCAUGACACAGACAGACAGACACACCAUGACACAGACAGACACCAUGACACAGACAGACACACACACACACACACACCAUGACAGACAGACACCAUGACACAGACAGACAGACACAUCAUAACAGACAGACACAUCAUAACAGACAGACACACACCAUGACACAGACAGACAGACACAUCAUAACAGACAGACACACACACCAUGACACAGACAGACAGACAGACAGAUCAUAACAGACAUACACACACACACCAUGACACAGACAAACACAUCAUAACAGACAGACACACACACCAUGACACAGACAGACACAUACACCAUGACACAGACAGACAGACCAUAACAGACAGACACACCAUAACACACAUUACUACUACCUGCCAGAGCAUCGUGCAGUGCAGACGGUUGUCUGUGCUGGAGUCUCUGGCGGCCGCUGGGGGAGGUCUGCUGGCGGCCGCUGGGGGAGGUCUGCUGGCGGCCGCUGGGGGAGGUCUGCUGGCGGCCGCUGGGGGAGCUGCGCUGGCUCUGCUCUCCGCCCUUGCACGCUGCUGCAUGAGACCGCGGCUGGAAUAUGACGUCCUAUUCUGGGUCUCAUAAAGCUGCGCGCUGGUGAGUAGAGACAGAACAGCUCCCCCAGCGGCCGCCAGCAGACCCAGGUGUCUGCCCGGCCCCAGGUGCCGACGGACGAGGCCGCCAGACUCCAGUCCGGCCCUGGUGACAGUGUGUGUGUGGCUGUGACAGUGUGUAUAUUGGGGUAAAAGUCUGUUUGAGGGGAGUGACAGUGUGUGUGGGGAAGUGACAGUGUGUGUGUGGGAUUGACAGGGUGUGUGGAGGGGGGUGACAGUGUGUGUUGUGGAGUGACAGUGUGUGUUGAGGAGUGACAGUGUGUAUGGAGGAGUGACAGUGUGUGUGGAGGAGUGACAGUGUAUGAUGGGGCGUUAAAGUGUAUAAAUGGGGCUAACAGUGUGUGAGGGGAAUGACAGUGUGUGGGGGACACACAAACAUGCUCACAGAGACAUACGUUCACACACAAGGGUAUUCACUGUCAGACAAACACUCUCAGGCACAUACACAGAUACACAUUGUGACUGCUUAACUAGAUUUCAGUAAGGCUUUUGACACUGUGGCACAUAGAAGGCUUAUCAAUAAACUGCAAUCUUUAAGUUUGGAUUCCAAUAUUGUUGAAUGGGUAGGGCAGUGGCUGAGUGACAGGCAACAGAGGGUUGUAGUCAAUGGAGUAUAUUCGAAGCAUGGGCUUGUCACCAGUGGGGUACCUCAGGGAUCUGUACUGUAGUGGACCGGCAAUAUUAAAUCCCACGAAUUCCGCUGGUACAUACAGUAAUCCACAGUCAGCGCUGAAAAGCAAGGCAAUAUCCCAAAUCCCCCCAGUAACCGGACGAAACACAGUUCUGGGAGUCAACUGAGGUUUUUAUUUGCAGCUCCAGUAUUUAUGCAAGUCCCCAUGCAAGGGGUUUCCAUACUGCUUUAGCAGGGGUAACACAGUAGGGGACUACAUGGGGGACUUCACAUUCUGGGCAUUUUCCCAUCAGGCACUGCUGCACGAGAGGGAUACUCCCACUGGAAUAUACCGUUAAGUGGAUUACCCAUCCGUGCAGCAGAACCGGCAAUUUAUAUUAAAAUACAUAACUUUUUGAAUACUUGACAGAUUUACACGAAUGGACGUUCGGUCGAUAGCUGGGGUUCGUGAGAAUACCGCUCAGAUCCCAGCAUAAAUAACUGAAUGCCGCACGAAAAACAAAUUUUUUAUAACACAAGUUAAAAGUACCGAUUGACAUAGAUGGACCAAACUACCGAACGGCCCAGGACUCCCGAACGGUCUGGAAGCCCAGCGGUGUUCACGCCGCCGAGUAGCCGUUUUCAGUUCCAUGCGCUUGACGACCAAACACCGCUGGGGAACAAAGGAUCUAAGAUGGCCGACCGCUGCGCGGUCGGUAGCGGAACGGCGGCCACCUAGGAGAGCCUCUAAUUAACAAUGUUGCAAUCGGUUAACAUGCGCCACACGUCCCUUAGUGUGUGGGCUAUUAAAAGAUAGUUCAUUCGGUUCACAAACGGCUCGCAAAGGUGCCGUUCGUGAAACAAAAUAGAAAAUUACUAUCUGCUUUCGGCAGAUAGCCAAUACAAGCAAUACAGCCUACAGGAUACAGUAGAUUACAACCAGGCACAUACACAAUGGUAUUAAAGAUACAGACAACCCUUAAAAACAUAUUGUCUCUGUUUAGUCCAAGUGGCUAGGUUUGCCACAUGUACUUGGACCCAUUCUCUUUAAUAUUUUUAUUAGUGAUAUUGCAGAAGGUCUUGAUGGUAAGGUAUGUCUUUUUGCUGAUGAUACAAAGAUAUGUAACAGGGUUGAUGUUCCAGAAGGGAUAAGCCAAAUGGCAAAUGAUUUAGGUAAAUUAGAAAAAUGGUCAGAAUUGUGGCAACUGACAUUUAAUGUGGAUAAGUGCAAGAUAAUGCAUCUUGGACGUAAAAACCCAAGGGCAGAGUACAGAAUAUUUGGUAGAGUUCUAACCUCAACAUAUGAGGAAAGGGAUUUAGGGGUGAUUAUUUCUGAUGACUUAAAGGUAGGCAGACAAUGUAAUAGAGCGGCAGGAAAUGCUAGCAGAAUGCUUGGUUGUAUAGGGAGAGGUAUUAGCAGUAGAAAGAGGGAAGUGCUCAUGCCAUUGUACAGAACACUGGUGAGACCUCACUUGGAGUAUUGUACACAGUACUGGAGACCGUAUCUUCAGAAGGAUAUUGAUACCUUAGAGAGGGUUCAGAGAAGGGCUACUAAACUGGUUCAUGGAUUGCAGGAUAAAACUUACCAGGAAAGGUUAAAGGAACUUAACAUGUAUAGCUUGGAGGAAAGACGAGACAGGGGGAUGAUAGAAACAUUUAAAUACAUAAAGGGAAUUGUGACGGUAGUAGAAAAUAUCCCCGUCAAGCAUUCCUUUCUUCCCAUAAAAGAAAAGCACUCAAUAUUCCAUAAGCAGAAAUAUCCCUGGAAUCGCCGAAUAAUCCACACAUGAGCCAAAGCUUAAUGCUGGAACAAGACUGAUUUACUGGCACACAGAACUCACAAUUUAUGCAACACAAAACUCCUCCUCUGGGCCAGGCUAGAUAAUUGAGUUUCUACAAUACACAAAGCUCAAUUAUCUGCUGGCCAGAAACAUUACAAUUUAUAACAAUUUCAGAAACAUACUUGUUAUAAGACAUACAAAUAUACUUUUGACAUCCCUGGGUAGCUGAGGAUACUGGUAGUCACACAUCCAAAUCUCACAAAUUUCCGUUCAGUAGUUUCCGUGUCGCAUCGUGUGGAAGUUUGACCGGCUUGUGGAGGUAUCCGAGUUACAGUUCCAUAGAAUCAGUAGCAAGAGCCGGUCUCCGUUCGCAUCUAACUACACGAAAACCACUGUUCGUAUGGUUCAGCUGGUUACCUGUGAAUGUUCCCCUCAUUCGGUAGAUACUAUCUACCGAACGCCAGUUUGAUUCGUGGACGGGAACGUAUUCAUCCAUGGGGACCGGGCGUUCGCAUGUUUCCUGUACCGAAAACAGUUCCAUGCAAUUCAUGCGUAAGCCCCGCUGACCGCAUUCAUGAGUUUUAAGAUGGCCGCCAUCCUUUGUUCUCGCCACGUGUUCGUAUGUCGAAUGGUGGCCACCUAGUAGCAAUUAAGUUGCGGUUUUCUUUGUGUUCUAAUUGCUACUUGCUACCCAGGGUGUGUGGUCCCCGUUCGGUACACGAAUACAUUCAUUCUCAACAUUUUGAACCGAACAAUAUAGACAUUAAAAUAGCAGGGAGAGGAUUAAACUGAAGCAAAUAGGCAAAUACAUAAAAGUCCUUCACAGGAAUCAACACAGUAAAGGAGGAGACCAUAUUUAAAAGAAGAAAAACUACCACAACAAGAGGACAUAGUCUUAAAUUAGAGGUACAAAGGUUUAAAAAUAAUAUCAGGAAGUAUUACUUUACUGAGAGGGUAGUGGAUGCAUGGAAUAGCCUUCCGGCUAAAGUGGUAGAGGUUAACACAGUAAAGGAGUUUAAGCAUGCGUGGGAUAGGCAUAAGGCUAUCCUAACUAUAAGAUAAGGCCAGGGACUAAUGAAAGUAUUUAGAAAAUUGGGCAGACUAGAUGGGCCGAAUGGUUCUUAUCUGCUGUCACAUUCUAUGUUUCUAUGACUGUAUGUCUGUGUUUGUCAAUGUGUGUAUCUUUGUGCAUCAGUGUGUUUGUAUCAGAGUGGGUAUAUGUGUGUCUAUAGCUGCAAUGUGAGCAAUGUGAGGGUGGUAUGGGCUUUACAAAGCUAAAGCUGGCAUAGGUAUCCCGUAAGAACGGAUAGAAAAGUAGGAUGAAUGUUACCAGUGACUGUGUUUUGUUGACAGAUUAUUAUCUGAUAUCAGAAGACAGUCACUGAACGACUCUUGCAAGGAGACUACAGAUAUCGGUGGCAUUUCAAGCACAGCACGGACUGUAUGAUCCUCCCUGAAUGGCAUUGUUUAUUUAUACUGUAUGGAUAAUGUCACGGCAUUGGAACCUACGAUACAAGUUUUAAUAGAACAAUAACUAGGGCUCAUGUUCUGUUUGGUUUCACUUGGCAUGUGCGCAGACGGUGAGAUUUUCCCUCUUCUCCCUUGCCAUACUUUGUAAAUGUCGCUAGGAAUGCUGAAACAAUAAAUGUUAGAAAGUUAAUGUUUCGUUCCAUUAAUCCUCGAUGCUCUCUUUUUGGAUCUUGUUGCUGUACAGAUCCACAACGUCUGCUGAGAAAUUCAUAUAAUCCUAACAAAGGUUUCUGCUUCCUCGCAUGAUUUACAGGAACGAGACGCAGCUCAUUGUUCAUCUAAUAAAAG